RNAcentral lists this long non-coding RNA (53502 nucleotides) under Phoenix dactylifera (date palm). RNAcentral describes it as "long non-coding RNA (PDAC_LNC001689)". Lineage: Eukaryota; Viridiplantae; Streptophyta; Magnoliopsida; Arecales; Arecaceae. The record is from RNAcentral.
AUCAUAAAUCUAAUCCCAGCUCAAAAAAACAGUGACAUGUUCAUCUGCACUCCAAUCCUUGACAAGGUUGAUUCAAGUGUUCUCUUCAAAACCUCCUAGCAGUCCGCAUUCCACCUAAUCUCAUUUAGGUUUGAAUAACCCAAAGGAAGCUCUACUAAAUCUAGUGCCCAGUCUCCGUCUAUAGUACAUUGAAAAAUCCAUGGCCAUGAAAACAACUUCCCUCGAGGAAUGGAGAAAUGCGUAGAAUGAAGAGUGUCAGAGUGCAUAAAUCCAUGGCCUGAACAUUAUGGCGUUGCUCUGAUUUCUUCAACCAACCAUCCAUGAAGAUAAGUCAGUCUCCGCAUCGAUCAAGUCAUGGAUGCAGAUGUAGAAAAUAAAAAUGUGGCAUGCGGUCCUCUUAGUCAAUAGUCAGUAGCAGUUCUUCAUUUGUGGCCUCUUGUUUGGGGCAAAGUCUUACCAUAGACUAUGUGUAUAAGCCAACCGUCUAAUCUGAGAUUAAGCAUGGAUCGCAAAGUAUUGUGUAGCUAUAGAUGGCCUCCAUCAAAAGAUGGACGAUCAUCACACAAAGUAGCCUACCAGUAUAUACCAUAUUAUACAUGACACAUGUUGUUUGAUAAUCGUCCUUGUUCCGAUAGCAGCCAUCUAGAAAUACCAGCACUCUACAGUGCAGUUCGUGCACUACAAAGGAUCCUGGUGGGAUUCUAUAAGCCUACACUGGGUAUCAGGGCUUUUCUACCUACUCUUUGCACUCGCCUCCCGAAACCCCAUCAUAUCUAUGAAUUUUCCGCCGCAAUGAAAAAAGCCAGGUUUGGUGCCUAUCGGUUUUCAGUUAAAUACAAGGAUGGCAUGAGCAAUUGAGCAUUCCAUUAGGCUUCCUCCACUUGCCCAAGUUGUAAUUUUGUACCUUGUGCAUGUUGGGUUGAUUGCAUUACCUAGAGGCAGUUUCCGACUCAAUCCUGGCUAACUAUAUCCCAUGUUAUGGCUAUCACACCAUAUGAUGGCAACGUUGGGCUCUCAAGCCCUUAUCUCUUUCUCCCCUUCUGAGAAGUUUAGCCUAACAGUAAGUAGGGCCAUGUAUACCAGAACACUCUCGACCUAAUUAUAAUCAUAUUCAAUUAGUUGUGCCCUAAUUAUCUUAAGCCAACUUUACAAGUUCUCAUCACGGAGCAUCCUUAUUCCAUAUCUCCUACAAUGUCAUUUCAUGUUUUUCUUUUCAGAUUAAGAUAUCUAUAUUUAUUGGAGCUUUUUUAGAUCUUCCUCAGUUGAUUCCAUGUCACCUCAUCUGAUACAACACGCCAACUAAGUUAAGAAAAAAAAGCCAAAUUUCGAAGCGUCUGACUUAAGGGAUAAAUUGAUUGUUAGCCACAACUUAGAAUGGAGGAGAGAUCCAUUCAAUGUGGGUCAUGAUUUUUAUUCGUACCCAUCAGCUAUCCUUAUCUCAUCAUCUGCCGUGCGAGUCUUGCAAACUUCGCUAUCCAAUUCAUGACAUGACUCCGUUUCCGUACUCAUCUCACCUGAUGGGAAUCAAGCCAAUUCUUUGGCCUAGAAUUGGCCAGAAUUUCGAAGCAAAUUACUCUCCAAACUAAAUGCAAACCACGAUGCAUGUUUAUUUCAAAUUAACUCAAUCAUUUGAAGGAGCCGAUAUCACGGAUAAGGUUGCCCCCCUAUUCAAUUUUGAUGAGCGCCGAAUCAAAUAGCUUUUACUAAUGCCAAUCCAAAGCAGCUGAAUAGAGACAGCUUAAGUGACAAGUCUAUUCAAUUGACUACCCUGACCCACGUCAACUGACUUCCCUGAUUUCACCAUCCCUUAAGUCACUCUCCACAUCUAUUUUAUCCUGGAUUGAAGAAGAUAAAAGGUGGCAGGCCCCCUUUCCUUGAUUUUUUUUUUAAAAAAAAAUUAAAUGUACCAGAAGAUGAGCCUGAUAAUGUGGCACAAUCGGAUUCAUCUAGAUCACAACUGAUAUGGCAAUUGAGAUAUAUUCUGUAACUCCUUGAUAUUAUCAGGCCACGUCAAUUCUAACCGAUCCGAGAGUUAGACCGAAUAAUUGUAAGUGACUGACCUCUGAGAUCAGACAUCGUUCGAUGUAUUGGAUGAAGUCUUAUAGUUUGGCUGGAUAACUAUUCAGCUUGGCGAUUAUCCCGAGCCGACCUGAGUUCCUUUAUGUCGAUCAGCAAGUUCAACACUUACAUCAUGCUGAAAGUUUAGAUUAUAAUGAUGGCCCUCGAUAGUCACAGUGCAUACUAGACAGCUACACAACAUGAUUUUAGGUGGUUAUAGCGUAUCUUGAGAUAGUUACAAUAUAAUUCUGGACGGUUACUACACAUCUCUCAACAGUUAUCAUACGAUAUUAGUUUGUUACAACAUAACCUUCAUGUGAUAUCGGAUCCCAUUGCUAUAUAUAGAUCCAAAACUUUUGCAUAAAAAAAACCCAUUUUCCGAAUACUGCUCAAGUUCCGUCUCUUUCCUAUACCAAAUACUUUUUUUUUUAUUUAAGUAUAGGAGAGCCCGACUGAAACCAACUUCAACAAGUUCUAUGAUAUAUUGCUAUUUUGCAAACUGCUAUGAAAUGUUGUUAUUUUGGAAAUCGAUGGAGGCGCUCCAUGUCAGCAAUUUGGAGAUCAACAGCAAUAGGAAGGAAAACCAUCCAAAAUUUAAUUAUCCAGUCGAAUCCCCCUGGUGCACCACCUAUGACUCAAAACCAUCAAUAACAGCUCCUCAUCUUUGGCCCCUGAGUUCUGUAUCAAUUGCUGCGAGAUUUAGGAUUCCAAGCAGAAGUUAUGUAUCAAUAAUGCCUAGACUCCAUGGAGCCGCAGAGACUUGAGGCAGGAGGAAGCCCAUCUUCUAAUUUUAAACCAAAGCAGGAGGAACCUCCUCCNNNNNNNNNNNNNNNNNNNNNNNNNNNNNGGAUCCCCCUAGACCCCAUCAACCAGCUAAAAAGUAGACCAGCCCAAUAAUAUUCAACCACAUCAUCUGAUUUUCCACUGAACAAAAUAAAAAAUAAUAAUAAUAAAGCUACGAACUCCAUUCUCUUCCCUCCGCCAUGGAUUCCGACGAUACAUUCGAAUAUGAAAUCCAGUCCCGGAAAUACAACAUUCCACUUUCCUUCCUCGCUCCUAGAAUGGCUCAAGGGUUCGACGCCUGAAGAACAUUACCACCAACACCCCUGCACCCUCUUUCUCUGCCUCUCUCUUUUUGUGUCUCUUCUCUCCCACGGCUCCGGCAGAAAGAUCCCCAACCAUUCUUACCCCUUCUUUCCCUCCUUAGAGGAACCUUGAGUUAUUGAUCGGAGCUCAUCAAGAACGCCAAGCCCUCCUCUUCCACUUAUUGUACAAGCCCCAUGCAUUCACACAAUUAGAGGAUUAAUUCAAUCCUCCAUUGGAGAUUUGAGUAGGGUUCGGGAUCAAGACGGGGGUGAUGCAAUGCAUGCAGUCUAGUAGCACUGAUAGACCCACCCUUCUUCUCUCAAAAUCCCAACCUACCCCAGAUCGCCACUUUUCCCAUUUCUUUGCUCCCUUCGUUGCCGGGAGGCGUGGCGGCGGAGCAUCGCCGGCGAGGGGGCGGUCACAACUGGUCAUCAUCCUCGUCGAUGAUAUCGAAUUCGUCAAUGCAGUCAUCAACUACAGUGUUGAAGACAUCGUUGUCGGUGUCGUCGAGGAGGGCAUAAGAUUGGAGGAGGAACCGUCGAGAUAAAGAAGCCCUAGGGAAGGGGUAGGAAGAGAGGCUGGAGUGGAGGAUAAAGAAGGAGAGGAGCAGGAAGAGGAGGGCGAAGUGGUGACAACGAUUCAGCUGACGCCUUGGGUGGCGAAGAAACGGGCCAUGUCGACCAUUGGGAUCGUGAGGCCAGGGCUCGUCAGGGGGAAGAAGAGCAUGGAGAGGACGCCGGCGGAGGUGGAGACUCGCCGGUGGAGGCCGUGGUAGUCGGAGCCCUCGAGCCGUUCUAGGAGGGAGGAGGGAUCGUCAUCGAAAUCCAUGGUGGAGGGAGGGGAAGGAAAUGGGUUUCGUUUCUCUCUUUUUUUUCAAAAAAAUAUUUUUUUAUAAUUUAUUUGAUAAAAAAAAUUAGAUGAUGUGGCAGGAUAUUAUUGGUCUAGUAUCCAACUAAGUUGGUAGACUCCGCCUACCUAAUAAUUUCGCGUUAAAGGUGCCGCUUUUUUUUUGGCUUUCCAACGCCAUGAGCUGCCUCCAAGACUCCCUUUACCCCAGCCGACGUCUUGCAGCUUCUGCAUGUUGGUGGUGGGCAAGGUUAGGCAACAGGUAGUUUCAGACCGGUCCUUACAGGGGUUAUCUCGGCCCAAGGUAAAGUUAUCCCGGUCAUGUUUGAGUUCUUGAAACAGAGUGCAGGAUGUUUUGAAUUUAGAACCAGACUUGAGAGGAAAGCAGCGUAUCGAUACAGGACUCAUUGUAACUUGUCAGAAAAAGUUCUUCUUUUUUUUCUUUUGCUAAAGAAAAAGUUCUUUCAACGUUCAAAAAUAGAGUACCACGAAAAUUCUUUUGCUAGCAUCUGAGGAUCCGGUUGGCUCGCAAGCAAUUGGCUAAGCUCCGCAAAUUCUUUUCCUUUUUCAGUCAUAAGCUGAUAUGUAUUUUCUAAAAUGUUAAAUACACUCCGAUUUCAAUCGCACUCAUUUUUUUUUAAUUUUUCACUAUUAGAAAAAUUAACAUUUUAAGUCCUUAUUGAUCAAUUUCUCUUUUGUUAUGAUCAUUUAUAAUUUUAUUUUAUUUUACAUCUUCUCCAUUUAAUAUUGCUACAGAGGGAGGUCCCCAUUUCAACCUAAUUAGAGGAGAUCUGGGACCAGCGAACUCGAGUGGAAGCAGUGUCACGUAUGACGCCACGUGCACACAUCCUUCACGAAGCUGUGGACUUGUUUCAGGAAACAUCUGGGCGUUUACACCUGAUCCCCGCACCGCCGAGGCCAACCCUUUUGUCGCCUCGAUCUCCUCCGUUCCCGUUCCUGCAAACUCUACCCCUUCUCCCUUCCCUCCUCCGGAGUCCUAAUUCGACGAGCAGAUCGAUUCCUCUAUGAUUUCGAGGCCUCAUCCCCUCCUCCUCCUCUUCUCCUCCCCCUCGUCCCAUGUGCAAGACCCGACGCGCCGCCGCGGCCUCCGAUCCCAUGCCCAGGCGGUCGUCCCGCUCCUCCGCCAGCUUCCCGGUCACCGACUCCGGUAGCUACCACCACGCCACCACCUCGUCCAUCACCUCCUCGUGGGCCGUCUCCGCCGACUCCAAGGCCUCCUCCUCCCCCUCUCUCGCCGCCAUCCGCGACUCCCUCCCGGAGACGCCCACACUGUACCCCUUCUCCGAGAUCAGCGCCGCCACCAACAACUUCCUUGCCCGCCACCUCGCCUCCGCCUCUUCCUCCUCCUCCUGGCGAUGCUCCCUUCGCGGCAAGGACGCUGUCAUCUUCCAGCGCCCCUUCCGCGGCGACCCCGCCGGCCUCCCCGCCCGCCUCGCCGCCGUCUGCAAGAGCCACCACAGCAGCCUCGUCCGCCUCCUCGGCGUCUCCCUCGCCGGCGACCACAUCUACCUCGUCUACGAGUACUCCCCCGGCGCCACUCUCGCGGCGUGCCUCCGCAACCCCCGCAACCCCAAUUUCACCCCUCUCUCCUCCUGGAUGUCUCGCAUCCAGGUCGCUGCCGACCUCGCCCAGGGUCUCGACUACAUCCACCACCACUCCGGCGUCAUCCACAAUCGGAUCAAGAGCUCCACCGUCCUCGUCACCGAGCCCCAUUUCCGCGCCAAGUUCUGCUACUUCGGCGCCGCGGACCUCGCCGGCGAGGUCCCCGCUACGACCAGCGCCGAAGACAAGGAGGAGGCGGCGGGGGAGAUCUCUCCCUCGUCCCCUCCGUCUCGCAAGAUGAAAAGAUCGGGCAGCCGCCGGAUGAAGAUCGAGGGGUCUAGGGGGUACAUGGCGCCGGAGCUGCUCGCCGGCGGGGACAUCUCGCGGCGGUCCGACGUGUACGCCCUCGGCGUUGUGCUCCUGGAGCUCCUCUCCGGCGACGAGCCGCUCAAGUACCGGUUCGACGAGGAACAGAAGGACUUGCACAGGGUCUCCCUCAUCGAGACGGCAAGGAAGACCAUCUGGACGGAAGAGGACUCCACCGAGCAGGAUCGGCGUUGGAGGGUGCGGCGGUGGGUGGACCGGAGGCUGCGGGACUCGUACCCGGUGGAGGCGGCGGAGGAUCUGAUGCGGGUGGCGCUGCGGUGUGUGGAGCCGGAUGCGGCGUUUCGGCCGGACAUGACGUGGGUGGCCGGAAAAGUAUCCAAAAUCUUCUUGGACUCCAAGGCGUGGGAGGAGACGGUUAGGCUUCCGGCGGACUUCUCGGUGUCCAUAGCUCCGCGGUGAGGAUUAGCGUCGGAGACCGCGGUGGUGGCCAUGGAUAUUGACGGGAGUCACGCGACCGGACGAAUUCCCCCAAUUUUUUAUGUUGGUAUUUUUGUAAUUUUGUGUUCAUAGGAUUAAUUGUACCCUGGAAGAGCAGAGAGCUGACAAAAGGUUACACUGAUAAGAAUUUUUUUGAUAUGUUUAUGAUUUAAUUAAUUGACAUGUGAUCGGCCACAUCAUUACCAUCUAAUAAAAAUUGCGUUCAUCAAAGCAGGUUCCUAAAGCCAGUCUCAACCUAAACGAAAACCGAAUCGGAAACCUAAUGGGCCAGCCUUUAAUUUCCGGAUUCCCAGUUGGGCCCAGUUUACUAAUUGCCAACAAGAACAUGGGAAGAUGUAGGCUGAGGCCUUCAAUUAAGCAAGCCCAAUUUGGACGACAAGUAGUUGAUGGCCCAAACCCGGCUCGAACUACUUGAAUUCUCUAAAGAAUUCAUGACACAAAAUAUCUGGGGAUCGAUCUCAUGACUGCAUCUUGAGUAUAGAGAACUUUCUUUCUUUCUUCUUCUCUUUUUUUUUUGUUCCUCGAGCAAGAAAUCAGGGGGAAAAAAAGAUCUGUAUUUUGUUUAAAAAAGACCAUUUGGGCGGUUUGUAUGUACUUAUUAUUUUUAAAAUAGAUCUGCAUAUAUAUGGCAGCGGGGAAACAAAAGAAAAAGAUAAUUUUAAAAAAUAUAUACAGGUUAUGGAUUUGCCACUGGCUUGUACAUCACGCGGUGUCAUAGCUGGGCGUACCGUGGGUUUGUGGGUGUCACACCAACACAAGUGGAUGGGAAAGCUCCGGAUGGAGGUGUUUGGGCGUCACACCAGCACAAGUGGAUGGGAAAGCUCCGGGGGGAGGGAGGGAGAAAUAAAGAGGAAUGGGAUGCAGGUGUUUGGGUGUCGCACCAACACAUGUGAAUGGUACGUAGAACCGGGAUUAAGCAGGAUGGCGGUUGUUUUUAGAUGCUGAUGCCUUUUUUUUUUAACUUUUUUGAGGCCAAUCAUACAUUUGAGAAAUAGGUACCUCUCUUUUGUCACCAUGAUGCAUUGUGUAUAACACCAAUAACAUCUUAUCGAUUCUAUUUUCAAGAUAGGUGAUAUGGUUGCUAUCCGCAGUAGUAUAGAGCCCUAUGAUGUAAAAGCUAGAGCUCAAGUUGGACAUUUUUUUUUCUGGGUAGAAAAAAAGGGGUAGGAGGGAGGAAAGGACAAGUCCGCCCCCGAGUAGCAGCCUCACUGAGCGCCCGCUCCGCCAGGAGAGUGUUCGAUGCGGGCAGAAGCUCAAGUUGGACAUUCAGUUUAGUUUUUUACUUGGGUUGGACCAAGGAAGUAUUGGAGGAGAGUUGAAGCUAGGUAUCCCCGCUUCUCACCUCCGUCUUGUAGCCCAAAAUCAUCAUCAACAUAUCUUAUUCGUUAAUUUCUCAAAUAAAAAUAUUUUUGUUUUGAAGUAGUUGGACAGGAACUGCAAGUGGUGAUGAUAACAAGACCCGGGACGUGAUAGCUGAAGAAGAUGUUCUCCGACAUCCGAUUCUCCCCGUAACGAAUGACAAAAUGGAAAACAAUUAGAUUCUCGAAUUCCAGCCCUCACCCAUCCCUAAACACGGUGAAGUUAGUAGGUCAAUCAAUAAUUCAUCCAGAAAAAGGCGAGGAGAGAGGAGCCUGUGAUCCCUCGGAUGGCAAGCCAUGCAUGUUUCCCAGCCUCACGUCACUACAGUAACCUUAGCCCACGCCUACUAAAAGCUAUAAUUAUAUAUCACAUCUAAUGCAUCAACGAUGGGCCACUCGCAUCCACUUGUCAAGGACUUUCUUAAGCAUGUGAUGAUGAGGGAGAUUCUUGGGCGGCGGAUUACAAAUAUUAUACAUAGCAAGUAUAUUUACUUGCCUUGAAAUUGUUAUUUCAUAAAAGGUGAUAAUCGACUAUGCUAUGGGUCAUCUUACACAGCUAUAAUUUUUUUUGUUUUAUAUUCAACGAAGAAGUGUGUGACGGAUUACAAACUAAAAGUUACGGCAACUGCCGCAUAUUCAUAGAAAACUCUCUCCAUGAGCAUGCAAGACAUCUUAUCAUGAUAUCAUAAUCAGAUAGUAGCAACAAUUUAAAUAAUAUCGUUCAAAUUCUAAUUAAAUAAUACAAUUAAAAGUCUUACAAAAUCAAAAAUAUUUCAAAAUCUUGCAACUACUCUAAAACAAGAAUAUUACUUACCUUGCAAUUACAAUCCAACUAGUAGAUCUAAUUAAUUCCGAAAAUCCUCCUCGAAGCCUAAUAUUUCAAAAUUUUACAUUUUAUUAGAAUUUCAUCAUCAAUUAUUUUAAAAAUAAAAUUUCUAAAUUCCAACACCAUUAUAGGGCUGAUUAAACAAGAAUGCCUAACAUUCAGGCCGGUUUGAUCAAGGUGAUUUCAUCGAAUAAUGCUCGAACUAGGGCACAUAUGGUUCAACAACGACCGAGAGUGAUCAAAUCUAACAAUAUUUGGCAAGAAUCAGGUGGGGGUUGACACAUUGCCUGAUGACCUUGUAUCAGGUCCUUCACCUAGGUUGAUCCAGAAAUUACUAAGAGUUGUACUUACGGAGUUCAAUCAACCCUAAAGAGAGAAAGUCUAGAUAGAGAGAGAAACUUUGUAGAGAGAGAAGUAAGAAAAAGAAAUGGUGGAAAAGAGAUAGAAAAGAGAAAAAACAAGCUUCUCUCUCUACCAAGGAAGAUGAAGGGAAGGAUGUGGCUACAAGUGAUGCUAUGGGUCAAGGACUCAUGGCCGAGCAACAGACGGCCAACAGCGACUAAACCAUGAGAAACAGGGAUUUCAACCUUUUAAAUCACGAAAUCAAGGUGUUCCGAUAGUAGAAACUGGAGCCAAGGCUACAACCUGCUGCGGAGGAACAGAGGGAAGCCUCAAUGAGAAGAACUGUCGGUGGAACAUGCCGGAAUCAAAAUAAAAAAAAAGAAGAGCUUGCUUUCCGCAAAAAGGAGAAACUGCAGCUUUGCCACUUCUCAUCCAAAUUUCGGUGAUCAUCAGCCAAAAUCAAGCUUUCAAGGAUUUCUUCCCCGGCUUUCGGCGACAGUGGGCCACGGUGGUGGCGCUGACACAGUCGACAAUUGCGGAAGAAAUCGAAAAGAAAUCCUGCGACUAAACUCCAAUUGGGACUGGCUUUCUAGCGAGGAAGGUGGGGUGGAGCUUAUAUAGAGCGGAUACUAGGGUUUCCUAGUCUUCGGUAGAAUUCGAGGAGGAGGAGGACCAUCGUGCUUAACAAGGGUGGUUCUUUUUCGACGGGCCUUCGAAUGCUGGGCCGGGUUAACAGGCCGGCCUAGUGAGGCUAGGCCUCACAAAAUACCUUUAACUGGCGAUAUUUAUUUAUUAUUAUUUUUUUGGUAGAAACCUAGCGAAUUUGUUAAGGUGGAACUCGUAGCUAGGUGUCUUCGAAAGAUAUAAAUUUACUCGCACACUAAGAGGGGGAAAUAAGAUCAUUAACCGAGUUCGGCAAACUUGACUAUAAGUGAAAAUUUUCCAAAAUAGUUAUGGUGCGAGGUCAAAAACUCUUGCCUUCAAUGCAUGAGGAAUGCCCUAAAAAUUGUAGUGUAAGCUAACCAUACAUGUAUGAUAAUUUUUUUUUCUUUAGAUAAAUCUAAUGAUUUAAAUUAAAUGAGAGAAGAUACGUCCACAAGAAUCAGAAAAUAAGAUGUUACAAAAGUGUAUAGGAAGAUCAGUCAAGGAUGCCUAUAAAGUAGAUCCCAUGUGAUUCGCCACAUUAUUCUUGUGCCAUAGGGAAGCCACAAUUGUCAAAUUUCUAACUAUGAUGUUUAAGAUGCAAUUGAACAUCAAUCUGAUGAAUCGAAGCGAACCGAGUCUUUCAUAUCGGUUUCAAAUGGUUCUGAUAGGUGGCCGGCUUAGCUUUGGUUUUAAGAAACCGAUUUAUACAUAACUCUAGUGAUAUACUUAUUCCAUGUAGUUUUCUAUUAUGUCUGUCGUGUCACAUAUAUAUUAUAAAUAAUCUGAUUGCAGGGCCGUAUGUAUCUCCCCGGUGCUGCCCGAGCUCUGAACUGAAAUCUAAAUAAUUAGCAUGCAUAGCUCUUGUUUAAGGAGCAAGUACCGGAGGAGUGCACCAAUAACUGCAGGUCUCCGCAGGCAUGGAUGUUCCUCUCACGUGAGCUGACUGCUUUACAAUGACCUUCGUCAAAGAUCAAUGCAUCCAAAACCGAGCAAAGGAUGCCGGACGUCCCACUCGAGGGCCCUUGGGAAGCACAAACUCUUCCACAAAUCUUUAAUCUAAGCAUCGUUUUCUCGUCUAAUGUUAUUUCCGGGAAGAGGAACUGUCCGGUUUGACGCGACCGUACCCUGAUGCCCAGAACGAAUUUUAUGCAUUUCCGGGCACCAUUAAGCCUUCAUUCUUUAAUAAGAGCUGCUUCAAGCCUUCUUUAACAGAAGGAUAAUCCCGGUGUGUGCAUGUGUGUGUGUUUUGAAGCUUGAAGAGCAGAGUUUUCCAAAUGGAAGAAGUAAUAUUCUAAUAUUCUGCUUCUAAAGUUGAAGGCAUUUUCAUUUUGUUUGGAUUAGAAAAAUAGGCAAGCCAGCGGGAUAAGAAAAUAAAAUAGCUGCAUGAAUGACCAGCCAUGGAGUUAGAAAAGCUUAGGUCAAUUGUCUGCAAUAAUUAAAAGGUAAAUUCCCAUCAUCCAGGUCGACGCUUACUCUGAAUUGAUCAUAUUAUUCCUGUAUAAUAAUGAAGUAGGAGAAUCAAACAUGGUGGGGACUAUGAGGAUAAGAAUCGAAUGAUAUAGGCCGGUUUGAUUUUUUUUUAAGGUCGCAUGGGUUGAUUAACUUGACAGACAACACUUCUUGUUAUUUUAUAAAUACAUCUGCAUCAGCAAAGCCCUUUAUGAGUUUGCUGUUAGAUCCUUACUUUACGAAGUAUCAUCGAGUUAUAAAACGUCAGAUAUGCUCUUCUGUUGCACUAGUCUUGAAACUCGAUCAACUCUGGACAAUAGAAAAUCAUCGGUACAUUCAAUAUUUUGCUAAGAUGGCAGUGUACAAAUAUACUUUAUGGGUUGUGGAUCAACUUUCAUAAACAAUUAUUCACCGAUAUUUAUUCCUAGCAUAUCGUUACAUGUAUACAUGCAUGGAAACUGUGAUAUUCCUCUUUCCUGAACAGUUGAUGUGCUUUGUAAAUGUGAAUCGAACAAGUUAAAAAUCAUGGCUAAAGCAAGUGAAAUACUUUAUCACUAUAACUGAUUUGAAUGGCAAAAUCAACAUGCACUCCAUAAUGACCGAGAUUCUGAUUAUUAUACAUAACAUAAGGUGGAGUUUUGUUAGGAUCCUUGCAAGAUGUAUAUGCAAAUUCAUAUCAAUUUUGUACUAAGUAGAUUUUAGGUAUCUAUAUAAGAUUAAUAAAUCUAAAUAAUACAUUAGGCUAGUUUCUUUUGGUGAGAUCGUAGAUUGCGACAUAUGGUAUCAAAGCGGGCCGGGUUAUAUUUAUAUAAAUAAAAAAACACUACGAUAUAGAUCUAUUUAUGUUGAUCAUUAACUAAUUGUAGACUUUUAGCUUAACAAGGAUAUUGGAGAUUAAAUUGAAUGAAUAUAUAAGAACUCGUGCAAACGUAUGCUCAGCUCCAUAUCAGUUAUGUACUAAGUAAAUUUUGGUACUUAUAUAAGAUCAAAGAAUCUAAAUGGUAUUUUUUGGCUCUUUUUUUUUAACUAAGAUUCUGAAUUGUUAUAAUUCUUUCUUCAAAAAAAAAAAAAACAUGAUUCAUUAGAUGCUAUAAUCCAGCACUCACCUACUGUGAUGAAUCUUUCUUUAAGAAUAAUAAUAAAAAAAGUUUAAGAUGAAGAAUCUUAAUGCAUGGGUAAGAAAUUUUUGGCUUCAUUAAAGAAGAGUCAACUACAAAUGUGGACAUUACAAGAAUGCACGCCAUUGAAGUUCUCACAGUUGAAGUCCUGACCCGAAAUCGAAUCACUGUUACAGACUGGAGUGAACUCAAAAAGUACACCAUUCUUUUCCAAGAGGGUAAAACAAAAUACCAACACAAAGUAAGUCAGAACUGGGUGCAGAUGUUAAAAAACAAAGAAAGAAAGCCUUCCUCCUUAAAUGCCUCCCACAGCAGAGAGAGAGAGAGAGAGAGGAACGGAUGCGAGUUAUCUCAUAUGAAUGCCGCCCAAUCCCACCCUGUCCCUAUUGGUCGGACCACGUAACGCUACAUGGGCCCCGGAAGACCACCGGACCGUGUCCCAUCUUCGAUGUCUCCUUUCAUCAGAUGACAACACGCAUAAGAUCGCGGCCGUCCAAUCACGAUUGGACGGGCGACUAGCUUGAAACCCUCCAUUCAAGAAGGUCGCGACAAGCUACUCGCAUUAAAAGGUCCGUCUUCAAUCUCGGCCGUCCAAUCAGGUAAGCACCAUUGAUUGGGCGGCUGAUACACACUGAUGGGUUGCGGUGGAGGUUCCUGUUGGGGUUCAUUCAAUGCACAGACAUAGUUGGAUGUCAGAUUACAGAAUCUGCUGUAGCUGCGGGAUCUCGCCCUUUAACUUAAAAUCACGCGGCUCACAUUCCGAGGCACGCGUAUCCGAAUCAUUGCAACCCACACGCAAUUUAAUGCAAUUAUCUCCCUUUAAUUGCCCCAACCCCACCAUCCUAAUUUAAGUAACUCUAAUUCCCCAAUUUUCUCGAUUUCCGAGAUAUUUCCGUGAGUUACUCUCUGACGGAAGAUUUCUUUGCAGGUCUUACCAAAUUCUUCAGUAGAAAUUGAGGCUGGUUGUAAACCAACGACCGUUAACUAGUAAUGUACGACAGAAAGCGACUGAAGGAGGUUAUGCAGUAAUUAUUUGGUAUAAUUAUCAGUGCGAUGGAUUAGAGACAAUUAUAUAACAUAAACAGUAAAAUGAGGGAGAGUAGGGCCUUCCCUAGAAGUAGGCUUUUUUUUGUUUUUUUUUGCCGUUCAUCAUUUUAGAAAUUUUUUUAGACCCAUUUUUAUCUAUUUUUCUAUGUUCAUACAAAAUUAGUAUGAGUUGUUGAGAUAAAAAAAAUAUAUCAUAUAUAUUUAUAUCAAAUUAAAAAAAUAAUUAUAAAUUGGGCUAAAACUUAUUAUUUAAUAAUCGUUUUACUUUUUAGGAACAAUAAUAAGUAUAUUAUAGUCAUUGCUGAAGUAAUUUUUUUUACUUGAUUUUAAUAAAUUAUUAAAAUAAAAAAAGAGAAAGAGAAGAAAUAAAAGAAAGUCCGUACGUGGAGCAGGCCUGAUGGCACCGGCGUCAUCGGUAAUCGGCAAAACCAUUCCCUCCCGCCUCAAGCAAAAGAUCUGGCGGUAGCCGGAGGAAACAACAAAAAGCCCGCGUGGGUUCUGGUGACCGCCCCGGUAAUCCCGGUGCCAGUCCUGACGUCACCUUCUCCCCCGACACCGUACGGCCACUCGAACUCCCCCACGAGACACGGCGUCCUCCAACCAUUCCCUGAAUGCCACGUCACCGAAAACUGCCACCACGACAGCGAUCAGUGGCAGUUGCGUCAAUCCAGUAGACUGCGAGGGGCGGUUCGCAUAUACCUCAUUUCGUAAGCAGCCAGUGGCACGGGGCCGUAAUAAUUACUUUCUGACAUGCCCUUUUCCGGAAUGCGGUUCCGCUUUGUUUCCGGUCCUUUAUAAACGAGGACGGAGAAAAGGAGGCGAAAUUUAUAUGAAAAAGAAAGGAAGCAGAGUUUUUUGUACGAAAAAGAGGGAGCGAAAUUUUCCAGGCGGCACUCACGCUGUAAAACGUAACGGCGAAGCUAUCGGAAGCCGUAACUCUCCGACGAAACCCGGCCGACGCGAGGUAAGUGGUUUUUUUUCUUCCCUUUCAACGAGUUUCUCGAAAUCCCGUAGGUUUUCUCGUUCCGCUCGCUCCGUCAUCGGCGAUCGGAUUUGGUAGAUCGCAAUCUUAUCCGUUGAUUCGUUCAAUAAUUGUGAUUGUCGAGAGGAACAAUACACCGUCACUUGGGAAUAUAUACUUAACGGCACGGAGGCCUUUUGCCGUUAAGCGUUACGGCGAAUUAUAUGGGGGGCUUGGAAGAAAGAAGGAUAACUUUGGGGUUCCCUCAAAAUUUUUUCGUUUCGGUCUAGCUUUUCCUUUAUCGAAAAAGCGGUUUAUUCUCCGCGUUUUGCUCUGUGGUUCGUGCUGUCUACCCAUUCCGCGGCAUCCCUUCCCUCCACGGCGGUAAAAACCAACAGGAUGGAACCAGAAAGAAAUACCGUACCUGGUAAAUAUUUUGCAUGCCCGAGGUAUAAGAUGUAUAAAAUAAAAGGGAAUACUAGGCUAUUUAAUUACUGUUAUACGUAGAGUUUUUUUUUUUUUUACUUGAGGGUUAUAGGUGGAAGAUGGAUGGAGAUGGAGACAGUGAGGACCCGAGAAGGGAGUUUGGUUUGCUUUCUCUAUCUACUGCCUUUUUCCUGGGCAUAUUUUAUACAUUUUAUGUAGGCCUAGGUUAUGGCAUAACCUUCACGCUUCUACUGGUGGCCUCUCUGCCUCCUCUCUCCGGCGAUUCAUCUUCUCUCCUUGCUUGAAAUCCUCGCAGCUUCUUUUCCAGCAUGCUUCUUCGUUUGUUUGUUGUUUACAUGAACAUCUCGAUGCUACUUCUCACAGAAGAAAACUGAUGUCUGCAUCAUCUAAAAUUAUCGCGAGCCUACCAAAAGAGCUGCUGCUGGAAGAUCAACACACAUGAAUUUGAUCGCUGCUCGGCAUGAACAGCUUGAGGCCGGAGCUCCACGUCGCUCAACAAAGCCGCCGCGAAAAGCUCCGGGUUCAGCACAGCCCGUGCCCGCCCGCCGCCCAUCGCGAAUUUCCCGGAACGAACACUCGAAAUUCCGAUCCAAUCCCGGAUCUCGCCCAGGUCCGGGACGUCUACGACCCGGCGUCCGCCAUGCUGGACUUGUCAGCCCGCGCCCAUAAUUUACCGUUGGCCGGCGCGGAAGCAUCCAUGAUCGGUCCGCUGCCGUCAAGCUUUCAUGAAGCGUCCGGGAGCCUCGCCCGUGCCGGCGAUCCCCCGAGCCCGUGCCUCUGGCGAGGGCAGCCGAACUGCGACUGGAUCGUUCCGAGCUUUGUCGCUGCCGGCGGCAGUGGAGCUCCGGAUAUGAUUACAAACCCUUUGGUCUCACCCGGUGUUUGCCACCCGAAGUCCGGCUUCUCGGGGUGUCGGGACGCAUCCAGCGAGCUUUCGAGCCAAGAGAGCCACCAACAGCAGUAUGGGGACUUGCACUUCCCCUCUUCCCAAUUCUACCAUCACGCUCUCCAAGGGGUGGUCACCUCCUCUCCCUCCACCGCGGGCAACCAUGGCCACGAAUUGGCCUCUAUUCUCCAACCCUCAAGCGUUCGCGGGCCCGGCCAGCCGUGCUCGUGGGUCGACGGUGGAAAUGAACUGCUUCUGCUGCUGCCCAGUUACGGUGAGCAGCCGAACACGGUGUGGGCGAGUCGUCCGCCUGCGCAAUGGAACGCGGAAGGAGGUUUUGCACGGGGUAAGGCUGCAGAGGAAUUUAAUACCGUUGGAAGCGAGGGAGGGACGCAAGGUCUGUCGCUAUCCCUCAACCCGGUGGCGGAUCUCCCUGUGGCGCAGUUGGGAGAGAGGUUUGGACUUCCAAAUGAAGCCGGGCACUCCUGCCCGCACCCCAAGUUCUCGAUCUGUGAUAGAGGUUAUGGGGUGUCGCUUCAAGGCAUCGUGAGCUCGUCGGUGGAUGCUCGGAGGGGCGCGGGGCCGCUCGGGCCUUUUACGGGAUACGCCACGAUUCUGAAGAGCUCCAAGUUCUUGAAGCCGGCUCAGCAGCUGAUGGAUGAAUUUUGUGGCUCUUCGACGGGGCCCAAGCUUCUCGAGUAUCGUGAUGAGGGUGGGGGGAGUUGCCAGAUCGCGAGUGCCGAUCAUGGUGAUUCACAGGUCGGUGAGAAGGAGAAUACUGGGAGGGGAGGGAAUCCGGCGGUGUCGUCGUCUUCGUUGCAUAGUUCGAUGGAAGGCGGUGGUGAAGCCGGUGCGAGUGGGGAGGCUUCUCAAAUUCAUAGCCCCGAGAUCCAGCAGAAGAAAGCGAAACUCUUGUACAUGCUGGAAGAGGUUAGUCUUAUAAGAGAUGAGAAUGCUUGCACUAUGUGCGCUGACAGUAUUUACUGCAUGGUAAUUAUUGUUAAUUUCCUACUUAAUUUGUCUGUUAGAAGUAAGCUUAAUUCUUUUUGCAUGUCAAAUCAUAGGCUUUAUGCUCCACUUUUCAUUGUUGCAGCGGUAUAUGAAGCGUUUUCUAUAGUGCUUAGGACUCUUCAUUGAUAUGCUGUGGCAGAUGACUUUGCAUUACUAUUCAUGUCCCCAAAUUGAAGGAUGAUAUGAAUGUCUUCAGAGGCAGAUUGCUGUCGCUUAAUUGGAAUGAUCAUUUUUGAGAUACCUUAAUUAAUUAAGCAGCAUGUAGUUUAUUGAUCUAAAACGAUUUGGUUCCCACUUUAAUGACCACCAUACUAUGGAGCUUUUACUUAAUCUUUUAGGUUGAGUUGAUGCGUAGGUUUUUUUUCUUUCUGUGGCGGGGACACAAUCCAUGUUGUAGCAACCCUAGGGAUCAAUUUUUUCUAAAACUAAUAGAGGCAGUCAUCUUUUUUGUUCUCUUCCAUGCCUCAUAAAUUGAUAAAUGACCUGUAAAUGUGAGUUAAUCCUUUCCCAAAAGUAUGUUAGAUGAACAGUGUUAAAGUGGUCGACAGGUUCUCUCAAUUUUACAAAGAAAAAAAAGAAAACAAUAAAAAAUAUUGUUGAACUUUAGUGAGUGAUAUAUAUGUAUGGAUAUACAUAGAGGUCUAUUUGAAUUUAGAUACAACCAUAGAUGUAAGUAUGUGUUAGGCCAAGUGUAUUUUAAGAUGUGCUGUUGAUUAUUUGAUUCCUGCAAUUCUCUUAGUUUUUUCAAUGUGUCCAGUCUUUGCUUUCUUUCACUCUAUGGCCUCUUCAAUUGAUAGCCUGGUCAUUUAUUUUGGGUAGCAUAUAUGUUUAUUACCUACAAAAAUUUAGAUUUUUCAAAUGUUACCACGCAUAUGCCGUAAUUUAGUUAUAAGUUGGGUAAAGAAAAAUUUGGAACAAAUAUGAUUAACUUUCAAAAGGGUAUGUGAACCGUGUUUAGAAUUAUAAUACAGUUAUUUGUUUCACUUCUUCAGGAAAAUAAGAUUUUUGUAUGUUUUGUCUUGUGCUCCUAGACCACAAGGACCUUUACAAUCUGUGUAUCUCAUCAUUUACUUUAGUUUGUCAAUUUGAUGAAUAGGGCAUACUUUCUUCUUUUUCAUGGUGUUUAGUCCAUUGUUCAACUAUCCGAGCUCUUCCACUCUCGGAGCAACUCUUUUGCUAAUUAGGUAUAUGGUUCUACAUCAGUCACAUUAUUCUUGAAUAUCUUGUUGAUGAUAUCUUGUACCUUUUCCCUUUUAUCUUAAAUUUUUAAUCCAAUGUAAAUCCUUAAACUCCUCAGUUCGGUAUCAUUAAGUUCUCUCAUGCUGUGUUCAGUCCUUGUAUACAUCCCAACUUUCACUAUUAGAAUUAGGCUUUUCAAAAGUUUUUGGCAAACAUGUGAUCCUCCAUAAGCCUUCAGUCAAAUUCUGAAACAAUUUUUAGAGCCUUUGUUUAAAGUUCCGCCAGUUAAUUUCCAGCAAGCCUCCAUUUUUUGCAGUUUAAGCUAAUAUAUAUCUUAAGGCAGAAGCAUUCAAGCGAGUAGAUAUUUUUUGCCUUCUCACAGCCAUAAGCUCCACCAGAUCUGAAUAUUAAUUUUUCCAUACCCAUAUACUAUGUUUAUGGGAAUUCUAAUAAAACUUCGAGUAAUGCAAUUUUUUAGUUGCUUUAAUGCUCAGCACUACAAUUGUGGCACUUAACUAUUUCAAAGAGAACAAGGCUGUAACUUUUUAGCUGCCAUAUUACAAAUGAACCGUUUCAAAUUUGACCCUGAUGCAGUCCAAUUUUUCUGUCUUGCAAAUGGUUUUGAUAUUUUAAUUAUUAGUUAGAAGAGCUCUAGAAAGAUAUUGCAAUGCAAACUUAAUACAGCAUGCAUUUUAUGAAGGCGACACCAGAUGAGGACCUUGUAGCGUUGAUUAGUGAAGAUGGCUUCACAAUGCAAACUCAAUAAUGGGGCGAAAGAGUUUCCUUGAUGGGGUCUUUUUAAAAAUUUCAUUAUUUAUUUUUUAGACUGGAGUUUGUUCAUCGUUAAGAUUAUAAAUCGUGGUUUAUCCUUGCUUGGAAAUAUAUAAGCAUGUCUCUCUUUGGGACAUGAACUAUCUUUUCUUAUACAUGGAGCAUGAUGGUUGUUAUCUCAAUGUAGAUUUAUAUAUUUUCUUAUCCAUGCAGCCUGUCUUAAGCAUGAUGAAGAUGACUGAUGUAGUUCAAUCGGAGUAGCAACUGCAAAAUAAUCAAUUUUUACAUAGCUAGAAAAAAGGAAGUGCACACCAGAAGCUAAAUUUUCAAAACUUCACUUUUGUGGGAUCUCACAAUUUUUUUUUUUUACGCUGCAACUGUAUUAUAAGACAUGAAGGUAGACAAGAAAUCACAUUUUGCCAUUGCAUAUUUAUGAUUAUUAAAAUAGUACGGGCAUUCAUUUGACAUAUGAAUAACUUUGGAAAUAAUAGAAAAUCCAAAGAAGUGAUAAAACUCAAAACUGCACUUACGGUACCAUACCAUCAAACUGACUUUUUUUGUUUCUUGGAAGCAUCUUGACCUUUCAGUUUUAGGAUUCUGAUAGCAUCAUUAAAUUGUUUAUGCUUCUAGAGAAGCUUAAAGCUGUGUUGAAAUUCUUUAGUGAUCAAAUGUUGUAAUUGCUAUUGCGACCGAUUGUUUUAAGUUAUUGAUUAAAGAUAACUGAAUUUGCAUGCCAUUCUUCUGAAACAAAAUUUGUGACUGUAUUUCUUAAUAUAAAGACCUUUCUAGCAAGCAAGGUUGCCAUCUCAAAAGGUUAUUUGACUUUAUGUUCUUCAAUUUUGCAUCUCCAAAGUGAACACAUGAUGCCGUGCUAAGAAUAAUAGAUAUUCAAGCUGGCUUUCUGUGAAAUUUAAUGUAUUUUACAUAGGUCGGGUGGAAGAUAUGAGAUAGCUAUUUAUGUUCGCCAUGAGAUUAAUUAGUUAAGUGAGCAAUGUGUCCCUUUUUAGGUACCUCAACUUCUUUGUGCUCUAUGGUUACUGAAGAAGUUUGUUCCUAUGAAAAGAUUAUUAGAGUAAAAGCUCCAAAAAUUUAUUUUCAUGAACGAAAAUUAAAUUAUUGAUGUGAAGUUGUACCAGACAGGCCUUAUAAAUGCUGGGUACAGUGUCCGUCAUUUAUGCUUGCCUUUUCUUAGUAAGUCACCAGAGAUAUGAGCUGACAACUUGGCAUUUCUGAUGCAAGUUGAUGAGCUAAGUGCAAAUUUAUAUGGCAUGGUGAAAUUGUACUUGGUCCAGUCAAACCCCAGUAACAAAAUAUCGACUUGACCGUUGUACCAUGUAAUGACAUUUGAAAGCUGGGUACAUUCUGUUGUAUGGUUUGACAAUUGAAAUUGAAAUUUGUUUUAACAGUUUAUGCAUUCAAGUUUUUUGCCCGUGGUGUGAGAAAUGCUUCAGCAAGAAUUUGCUAUGAUAAAGUAUAAAUAAUCUCCACAGGUUAGGUUUUGAAAUUUAUCAUGAAUUCCGAACCUUUUACAUAGGAGUGGUAUUUGGCCCUUUGCUCCAGUCAGUAGUUCAGAAAAUGAUUUUUACUCCAGGUUUCACUAGUAUUUUUACUUGUAAAGUUAGUAACAAAGGUGGAAAAAAUAUAAAGCCAUGCUUGUUUUUUCGAGUUCUAAGUAUGACAUGGCGCAUUCAAUAUUGUAUUUUGUUCCAUAUUAGAUUGGAACAAAGCCUAAAAUGAUCUAAUAUUCGUUAUGAAUUGACUAUGGUUGGUUUACCAAUGAUGAUAGUGAGUGUUCAAAAAAAAUUAAAACAAAAAGGGGCUUUUGAUGAUGCAAUAGAGCAUGCUUGUUCAUAUUGUAGUCAACCAGUUUUUGCAUAACUUUUCAUGGUUACUUUUGAAAAAUUUUGCAUGAAGUACUGGUCUCAUAUACACUUCUGAUCUCUUGACUGAUUCCAGUUCUUCAGUGUAACUUAAAAAUUAAAAUAUCAAUUCAAAUCUCUUGAAAUUUCUUGCAGUAAUGAUCUAUUAAAUAAAAUGCUGUUAUUAGAGAUGGUAAGUUUUGGUUCACCAGUAUUGUUUGUUAAUGUGCUAAAUUUUCAUGGUGUAAGGUUGAUUGCCAUCAUGUGGGUGAUUUAUCUUGCGAUGCAAAAGCAUGUAGCUAAAUGUAACCCUCUUUAUCAUGUGAUAUCUUUUUCAUUGGGGGCAGAGAAUUUAAAACAUUGAUUUCAUCUAUUUUUGGGCGCUGGUGAAUCUGGUAAGGGCGCUAGUUAACUUAUCCUCGUUUGUUUACUUAUUCUAACAACAAAACAUUAGCAAUUUAGUAUGCAGUUUAAAUGGAAUGGUUAAUAUCUCAAGUUGCUAGUAGAAUAUGCCUAGAAAAUUUGUUAAUUUUUAAAAUGGGCAUGGCUGAGUUGAGAAUGCUGGUUUGGUUACAUGGAGAAGUGGGUAAGACAGACAUAGACAAGACAGCAGUAAUGGAAGAUGGCUGAUGUUUGCUCUGGAAACUGAAAAAGGAAAAAGAGAAAGUCCUGGGAUGUAAGCUUAUGAAUUGCAUUAGCAGAGGUGGAAUUGAUGGAGAAUUAACUGGUAUAAUAUUGUCUUCUGCCCUGGAGACGAGAAGAGACGCACUUGUUGUAGAAGAUUAGGUAUACCUGGAAGUAUGUGAAAAGAUAAUAUUGUCAUAAUGAAAGCUGGCUGGAGGUUCUAAAGAUCGGUUUUCUUUGAAUGAAAAUUUGCUCUUAAGGUCAUGAAUGACAAAGAAGCAUUUAUAACUAUGGUAGAGAUAAAAUGUGAGGUAGCUGCCAUGAUUUGCUCAAAAAAGAUAAUGGUAGAGAUGAUAAAUCAUAGCGACUAUUGGUUCUUGUUAGAUUUCACUGUGCUCAUGCUUGUAUGUUAAUAACUUUUUAGUGAAAAUAUCCGAGAUGUUUUUAUGAUACUUAGCGUAAGCUUGCUUAACAUAGUUAUGAUUUUUUAAGGAAAUUUAUAGUUAUGCUUUAUGACUAUGCUUUCAUUUGUAUCAUAAACACGUUGCUUGCAAUACUUUGGAGAACCAGAGAAGUUUACAUCUCAAGAUGCCAAUCAAACUUUAUAGUUUGAUUGAAAUUUGCUCGUAAAGGAUUUCUUGGUUGAUCUGCAGGCAGUUGCAGAAUGUAAGAGGACUAAACUGUGUUUCGAAAUAUUUUGUUCCACUGGUCAACUGUAUCGUAUAUGGUUCUUAAGAUGCCAUGCAGAUCAUCAUGUCAGCUCUAUUGUUAUUGUUGAUUGGAAUAUUUAAUCUCCUUUAUCUUAUAAUAUUUGAGAUAGUGACGACAUGUGGUGCUGGUCAAAAUCUAUAUGGUGUUUCAAUUAUUUAUAUUUUUGGGAGCUCCUGCAUGCAUAUUUAAUGUGGAGUUGCGCCCGCGCGCUCUCUCUCUCUCUCAUGCGCACUAUUAUUGUUAUCUUGAGCUGCAAAAUGCAUUGCAAUCAGUUGAUGCAAUUAAUUUAGAAUCUAACUGGCUUAGACACGCUAUUCAAUUUUUUGUGAAGGUAUGCAGACGGUACAAGCAAUACCACCAACAAGUGCAAAUGGUGGUCACUGCUUUUGAAUCUGUAGCAGGCCUCAGAUCUGCUACACCCUAUGCUUCAUUAGCCCUCAAGACUGUCUCAAAGCACUUCCGGUGCAUAAGAAAUGCUAUAUCCGAUCAGCUCCGACACAUAAGCAAAGUUCUGGGCGAGGAGCUCAUGUCAUCACCCAGUUCGAGUAGAGGUGAAAUGACGCCAAAGUUGAAACACAUCAAUCAGAGCGUCCUCGAGCAAAAGGCAGGUGAGAACAGCUUAGGUUUUGUGGGUCAGAAUCAGCCUGUGUGGAGGCCUCAGAGAGGCCUACCGGAGCGUGCUGUGGCUGUUUUGAGGGCCUGGUUGUUUGAUCAUUUCCUUCAUCCGUGAGUCACUCCACUGACUGUUAAUGUCUUCUUCAUUCAUUCCUUCUACUCUUCUUACGUCUAUUAUUACCUUGCUAUGUAACUAAUUUCAUUCUCUUGAUGAAAUCUGUGGGGGGGCUACUUUGCCCUCCCUUGUUUCAAAAAGAAAGAAAGAAAAAAAGAGAAAUGUUAAUAUCGCAUCGUUUUGUAAAUUUUUGAUUUUUCUGUUGCUUCCUUUGGUUCACCCAUAUGCUAUUACCAUAUACUAUUACUAUCAUCAAUGCUUGCAUGGUGUUUUGGGUGGGAAAGAGACAGCUCAUUGUAUGUUCGGUGUCUCCAGGUACCCGACGGAUACGGACAAGCACAUGUUAGCGACCCAAACUGGCCUGUCACGGAACCAGGUAACUCUCUCAGAGCCGAUCCUUCUCUCUUGUGAAUACUGUUAGGUGGGCGAGAUGAAUGAAUCCCAGCACUGAUGUCACCUGCAACCAGCUUCGGAGCUGGCUGAGUUGGAGGGUUGGUCUACUUGUAUUGCAGGUCUAGGUUUUAAUCCAAUGGGAAAGGUUGGAUGUUAUAAAUUUUUAGCCUGGAAUUUUGAAGGUCUGAUGAAGUUAGGGUGAGUUCGAUUCUGUUUCCCCGCCUACCUAGGUUUUACUGAAUUUGGUUUGAUCCAUUGAAUCAAUCUAGGUUUAUGGCAGGAAAUGGGACCCGGACUUCAUUCAUGGCAGGAAAUGUGCCACUUUUUUGGCCCGACUUAAUUUAUGACUGUAAACUGCUUGUCUGACCCAUGGCUGUUGUUAAGUUGGUUUGAUUCACAACACACGUGAGGAGCCAGGAUAUAGGAGUCAAACUCUGACCAGUGUCGACUCUGGCAGCUGCUGUUGGUCUGGUCAAAGUUUGACGCAUAAAAUCCAAUGCGGACAAAACCUGACACAUGAUAACCUUGCAUGUAUGGAGAAGGGGGGACUGGGACUCGGUGUACUGUUCAUGCUUUGCUACUUUGUGAUGGGGGCAGGACCUUAAUCAGAGUGUUGGGCUACGGACUCAUCAUCUGAAAGAGCAUGGAUCCUUUGUGGCCCUCACCAUGCAGCUCUCUUGUGGCCAAUACUAUCAGAGGCCUGCAUGGGAGAGACCAGACGCAUUUAAAUUUCAUCAGUGCUGAUGUAAUUUGCAUAUCGUAGUUCUUAGUUUCGUAGUUCUUAGUUUCGCAUCAUCGACAUGGUCUCUGCAGCACAAAUGAGCAACCAUGCAUUCACCCUUAUGGCUGCAAGGUGCAGGCUGGGGUGGCUUCACUCUGAUAAUGUGACAGAAUUCCUUCUCUGACACCUGCUUACAUUUCCCUUUCAUCUGGUGCUUCACCUUCGUGCAGGUUUCCAACUGGUUCAUUAAUGCUCGGGUACGGCUAUGGAAGCCAAUGGUUGAAGAGAUCCACAUGCUUGAAACCAAAGGAAUGAAAGGAGCGGACCUCAACUCUGGCAACAGAAACGAUGCUAACAAGCUGCCCAUGGAUGAUGCAGGGCGACCUUCUAACGAGCAAAGGCCAGAAUCCGGGUGUAGCAGGCCAUUGCAUUGUUCCUCUAUGGAGCCUCUUUUGAAUGAUGAGGGUUCCCGGAGUAUGGAGCAGUGGCAUUACGAGAAGCGAUCAAGGAUUGACGAGUGUGGGAUGCAGACGAGCAUGGAUGGGAACUUGAUAAGCUUCGGAACGUACCAGAGUGCUAUGGAUAUUGGAGGACUUGGAGCGGUGUCUCUCACGCUGGGCCUCAGGCAAGAGGGCGGACAGCAGCAGCAGCAGCAGCAGCAGCAGCAGAUGAGGCACUUUGGAAGUCAGAUGCUGCGUGACUUUGUGGGUUGAGUGAUCUUUGUUGGAAUUGUUCUGUUGCGAGUGCUAGAGAUGUGCUGGGGAGCAGCUAUUGGCAAUGUUAGUGGAGAUAUGAAGAUGUGAGCGCGUACAAAGACUAGUUUUCAGAAAAGGGGUGACAAUUGUAUUGUAGGAUGGGGGAAAGGUCCAUUGUAUGAUUUGUAAUGCUGCUAUUCGUUUGAAGUUUUGGUGGUUUACAAAUACUCUCUGAUUUAGUGCUGUUGUAAGAUUCUGUUGUCUUCUGUCCUCUCGCCCUUAAGCUUGCGGGUGCUUUCGUGCAUGAAACUAUAUUUGACACGGUUGUCCUAGAGAAUGGUAACUUUGGGGCGAUACAACCGUAUGGUUGGAUUGUAAUCAGCUGCGUACGUAUGUUGAAGCUGAUAAUCCUCCAGAGCUCCGCUCAACUUGUCUUUCCAUGCUUAAGCCCGUCUUCGAACAUAGAAAGGGGUUUUUAAAAAAAAUAAUUGAUGUGUUUUGUCCUGUUAAUAUGGUUACUCUAAUCCAAUGUGCCAUGUUUCCUUGUGGAAAGUCUGCAGGGAAAAAUUUAACUCAAAUUAACAGCCUACGAUUCAUGCGGACCUUGUAUCACAAUCCUUAGGGAUCAUCUGCGCUGUUGUCGCCAGACCCUGCCAUUUUGCCAUUCAGACCGAGCCGGCCUCCCUUCAGUCCCAUGUAGUUCUGGUCAACAUUAAAUAAGCAGGGGGCAGGGGCCCCGGUUUGUUUUUUUAAAGUUCAUCGCAGGCUUUGGGAAACCUGGCUUCACGCCGGGCUUGGGCUAAGAUGGGCCUGGGGCGGUCCGUUUCUUGGGUUGUGUUCCAGUGAAUAUCUUUUGAGGCUGGCUUUAGGCUCAGCUCAGGAGUCAGGCCUGGGUUUAUGCUCGCUUCAUCACACCAGGCCUCGGCUAAGAUGACUUGACCUGGGCUUGCUCCAUCUAGCAGAUCAAUUCACAAACAGGGUUAAUUAAUUAUCUCUGAAAUCUGAAUGGAGGGUCAGAGAAAAGGGAAUUCCAUUAUGAGAGCGAACCCAGUUCUUGCAAUAAAAUUUUUUCGGUGGAUGCAUUUGUUCUUGCUCUGCUUGGUACUCAAGACAGCCGAAAGCCAUUGGCAACAGGCAAGCAGAGAGUGGAAGCCAGAGUUUGGUAACUACAGUACUCCAAGUCUCCAUCGCUGUUUUUCUCUCUUCAAAAGUACAUUCCUCAGGCUGCUUGAGCACUUCCACACAGAGCAAUCAGAUUUCAAUUAUCCCACAAUAACAGCAAUCCUGUUACAAUCCACAAGUAUUUCAUAAACCAUCAAUUGCACCAGUGUAUUGUGGGGAAAAAAUUCAGUUAAAUCAGUUUUAACAAAUCACUACAAUUUUGCAAGCCUUUCUAUCGUGAGAAAUAAAUUCUUUCCAACCAAGAAAGUUCAAGUUUAUGAACCAUAGAAGCCAAAGAGACAAACAUUAACAAGCUAAAGAGACAAAGACAAACAUGUCUAGCUUAUAAAUUCUAACAAUCUUCAGCAGCAGAACUAGAACAAAUUCAGCAGGCAACUAGACCGCAGCGACAGCCCUACUGUAACCGACACCCAUAUUGGAUUCUGCCGCUGGGGCGCUGCCUUCGUUCUCGCUGGAAAUCUCCUCCAAAGACUUCCCCUUGGACUCGGGCACCAGGAAGGUUAAGAAAAGCCCCAGGAGGUUGCAGGCUGCAAGCACGAAGAGGGAGUUCCUGACACCAAUGCCAGUAGAGUACCCAUGGUCGGUUUUGGCUGGGUCUGAGCUCUGGGAUAAGUAUAGAAAGCCGAACGAGCCCACGAUCGCACCAAGUUUUCUUCCAGAGCGUUCAUGGAGGCGGCCUUGGGGAUCCAUCCGAUGGCGCUAAAUAUGUCUUUUUGGAAGAGGUUCUGGCUGUAGAAGGCAAUGUCGAGGAGGAACCAGGUGGAGGAGGUGCCGAGAAGGUGGAGGCCAUGGCGAGGCAAGAAUUCUUUGGAGAAGAGGCCGAAGCUGUUGGCUUGCUGGCCGGUCAUCUGAUCGACCUUGGGCUGCUCCUCCUGAAGCUGGACUUGAAGUACCCUGGACAUGUCGGCGGCCGCCUUCUUGGCGUUCCUGACGACGAGGGCAGUGUAGCGGGCGGUCUCCGGCAUCUUCAUCCGCCAGUAGUAGGUGAGCGCCGCCGGGAUGGCGCCGAACAUGAGAACUAUGCGCCAGACGAAAUCGGCCUGGGGGACGGUGGAGGCUACGGGGUCGACGGCGUAGGAGGGGGCAGGGAAGCAGUGCUUGAAGGCGGCAGAGACGAUGAUGGCGACCGUGCCACCGGCGAGGAUGCCGAUACCCUGCAUGGCAAAGACGGCGGCGAUGAAUGCCCCGCGGGUCUUCUUGCUGGCGUACUCGGACAUGAUGGUGGCGGAGAGGGGGUAGUCGCCGCCGAUGCCGAAGCCGAGCCAGAAGCGGAAGAAGCAGAGGGUGGCCAUGACAGACUUGGGGGUGUGGCCGAAGGAGAGCCCGGAGGCGAUGGAGGUGAGGACCAUGAGCAUAAGCGUCAUGCCGUAGACCCGCUUGCGUCCCAUCUUGUCGCCGAGCCAGCCGAAGAAGAGCUGGCCGGAGAGGGUGCCGCAGAAGGCGACGCCGUGACGGCGGCGGAUACGUUGGGGGGGAGGGAUCCGGGUGUCGGGGAGCCUUCGACGUGGUAGUGGAUGCGACCGAGGAGCUAGGUGACGAGGGAGAUGCAGAAGAGGUCGUAAGCGUCGGUGAAGAAUCCCAUGCCGGCGACCACGAUGGCCGUGAAGUGGUACCAUUGCGUCUUCGCCGCGUCCAAAGCGUCCAGCACCUGGAGCUGCUCCCUCGCCAUGGUGACCGAUCGGCUCGUCUCUUAUCGAUAAAGAAUGCGGUUACAGAGAGAGUAAGAGCGAGAGUUCGUGUGUUUGAGAGAGAAGAGGGAACGAGAAGGAGAUCGAGGCAAAUGAGACAAGGGCAUCGGUGAGGUUUUAAAUAAACACGCAGGAGGAGGGUGGGUGCCAGCGGAAUAUUCUCAACUCCUUCCCCGUACCCAUUCACCCCCUCCCGGCAAGACCUCGCCCACGUCAGAGCGCUCACGGCGGAGGGCAGGGAAUUCCGUUUUUUGGUACAAUCUUUCCAUGUCGAGCUCGCAUCAUAGUAGCUUUCCAUAUUUUGCCAUGGUAAUAUUCCCCUAUAUAUUCCUUGUUGGAGAACUUCUUUCUAAAAUUCGCAUGACACAGUAUCAAGGAGGAGGAUUAAGUGACGCGGCGGAGGAAGGUGCGAGCCAUCCCAAUAUUCUCUUCUCUUGCAUUUAUUAAAUAGCUUUCCUCUUCAUUGCACACAACAAUAACCAGCCGUCAUCAUUCUAAUAUCUAUAUAGUAAUAUAAUUAUUAAAAUUCAAGGCAUUGCCUGAUAAUAUUAUAGUACUAGCAUUCUCAUAUGCCUGCAAAUUACUCGAUAUUUCAUUUUUUUUUGGAAGAUAUUUUAUAUCUCAUUGAUUUUUGUUUUAAAAUAACUUGCAACUGGUGACGGUUGACGGCCAUUUUAAAACAUAGUUUUAUAUACCAUAAAGAUCCAUGCAAGCACAGGCACCCGAACAAAGGAAGAGUAGAGAGGAGAGAAUCCAUCUUCCGCGUGAAAGUUGUAACCCUCUCCCAAGCGAGAGGAGGUCGGUUCCACAGUUCCACUCGAAUAUUAUUUUUUUUAUCGAAUCGGUUCAAAUUUGGAUAUUAAGGCUCGACCAAUCCAAAAUUGGAUUUUGAGCCUGAGUAUUUUGAAUUAAGUUGAACUUGGGCCUCUAGCUAUUUAACUUGGCUCGAUCGCAUCCCUGCCAGUGGCUCCCCGCAUUUCUGUAUCAUACAUCAUUUGUACACAUUUAAUUCAUUAAUAUGUUAAUUCACCUCCCCCUUUUGCGCUAAAGAAAAGCCCCCAGCAUAAUGACACGGGCCUCAAAUCGCAAACUCGAAUAUUCCUUUGCACGGCUGCUUACAUGGCAAGAAGGCCUUGCUGCAGUUGCAUGCAAUUUAAAGGAUUGGCUAACGAAGGACCAACCUUCCUGUACCACAAAGCAUAGGCAGCAGCAAAUAAAACAAAAAAAACAAAAAAAAAAAAGGUGACAUGGUUUGUUGACUAGUCAUAUAGCUAUAUUAGAGGUGUCCCAAACGCAGCUAUACAUCACGGGGGAAUUUGAUGUCUCUUAUUCAUCGGCCAACUCGAAAUGGUUAAACUAAAGGCGAACUAACGAGUUGGACAAAUCUAUUCUCUCCCUCUUCUGUAGAUCUCUGUUUCUAGCAGCCAGACGUUUUAUUUUGUCUGGCGGCUCACAGCCAGAUUGUAUUACUUGGGACCAACCUAACUAAAACCUGCAACUAACGAUGCUAAAAAUUUCUACCCGGAACUGGACUGCCCACCCAAACCCACACUGAAAUCACAGCCAGAUUGUAUUACUUGGGACCAACCUAACUAAAACCUGCAACCAACGAUGCUAAAAAUUUCUACGCGGAACUGGACUGCCCACCCAAACCCACACUGAAAUACCAAAUUACCAGGAACAUCAACCUAUAAUACAAAGUCUGCAACUCCAUGCUGAUAAGGAAUUGGGAACAAAGGCAGGCUGAUGACGAGAUCAAAUCUAAUCGCUGGAGCAAAUGAAAGCGAACAGCCUGUUCUACGUUGGAACCAAAUUUCUGGUGGCAGAAGCAUAUUUUAAAUCCUAUUAGUUUUUCACAGCCCAAUUUUGACAAUACUUGACAUCAUAAGCGAUAGACAUAGCUACAUAAUCUUGCACCGCUCACUUCCUUCACCAUUCCAACGUGUGCGCCGCAGCUGGAUUCUGUUCAUCCACCAUACUGUCACUUUUCUGAAUGCCAGUACCCAAGAUGCAGCAUGCCGGCAGGUGCAAAUGAAGGCUGAACUCAGGAUGGCACUCAUUUGCUGUGUAUGAGAGUGAAACACAGCAUGCCAAGGUGGCAGCUUGGCACAACCGUUACCCUAUGAUGCCACUGAUAAUACGCAAUGAACAGCUGACCCAUGCAAAAGACAACGCCAAGAAGUAAUGUGAGAAGAUAGUCGUCCCCUGGGUUGCCCUCACAAGUCCUAAUUUACUGAAGUCUACAAAGCAAUAUCAGUUAUUACAUUAUCCAAGACUAUAUAUUAGUCCUAAUUUCUUCAACAGACUUGGUAUUCCGAAGGAUGGGAGAAUUUCCCAGGAUGACACAUGGCUCUUUAAAGUGAAACUGAUGAGACAAUUAACACAAGCUAAUCCCAUAACUAAUGUACAUAGAGAUCAAGGCGUGUUGCAUGCCAGCUAUCCUGUUCCAGGAACAAAAUUCAGCAACGCUGGCGGAAUGUCAGGCUCAGACUUCCUUGAAAGAGCCCUGGGUCAGCUCUUGAUAGCAGAUUGCAGUGCAUCCACCAUGAUCGCCCAUUCUCAAGCCUUUGCCCCAAGAAAAGACUGCUCACAGAAAGGUCAGAAUUAAUAAGAGGAAAUUAGAGUGAAUUAUCUAUUUGGUUAUGGAGCUUCUUCAGAAUAUACAAUCCAACAGGCAAAGAUGUUAAAUGAAAGAUCAAGUGGAUGCACGAGUGCAGGACACAAUGGGGCAGUGCAUUCUAAAAUCAUGAUAUUGAUUGUAAUAUGGUGGGUAUUUAUAUACUUUGUUACAAGGUUCACAAUCUUAGUAUCGGACCUGUACCAGUACUCUAUUGGUAUAGUAUCGAUAUUGCCGGAAAUGGGGUUGAUUAGGCAUGUACCAACACUCGGUAUUAUCCCCCAUACUGCGCAUCAGUUGGUACUAGUAUGGUAGGUACACCUGGUAUAGAGGGUAGUACGUACUGGUACAAUGGACCUUUCUAUGUAAUUCUGUUAAAUUAUUUGGCAGAGCAAAUUAAGCUUUUAUGAUGUUGGAUGUUACAAGAAUGUAAAAUGACUGCAUCACAUAUUCUGAACUCAUAUUUUUUGACUUCCUCCCUUUCCAGCCUUUUCUAACAUCCUAUUUUUAACAGCCAGACGUAAGAAAAAUGUCAAAUACAAACUUUGAAAAUGAUGGCAUGAAAGAAAACACAAAAAAGUAAUCAUUCUGGGAAUAGACACCUACAAACACAGCCUNNNNNNNNNNNNNNNNNNNNNNNNNNNNNNNNNNNNNNNNNNNNNNNNNNNNNNNNNNNNNNNNNNNNNNNNNNNNNNNNNNNNNNNNNNNNNNNNNNNNNNNNNNNNNNNNNNNNNNNNNNNNNNNNNNNNNNNNNNNNNNNNNNNNNNNNNNNNNNNNNNNNNNNNNNNNNNNNNNNNNAAAAUUUUCAAAUCUAAUUAUCAUAAUUGAAUAGCCAUAUAAAAUUUCAAUCAUUGAGAGGAAAAAGUUAUGGGUUUUGAGUGGUUCCCAGCUUAGGUAAAAGGAACUGACCUUCCUGAGGAUAAUGCAGAUCACCAUAUCUUUCAGAUAAAAUAAGGUAAACACAUGAUGCCAAAACACUUCCAAGGGAUGGUGCAAAUCCUCUUAUUUGAUGUCGAUAAGUUGGCACAUCUUUUGGACAGCCCAACAAGAAAAUAAAAAUCCCCCACAAGUUAAUUAGUUGGUGUUCUAGAAGUCCCUUAUUAUGCAUUCAAGUGCAAAAAUUAUGCGGUAUAUUGAUAGAUCCCACCUUAUAUAAGUAGAUACCAAACAGAAUCCACUAACCCAGUGUUCUAUAGAGAUAGUUGAUGGACCUGCAACGGAUUGCCGGUAGAUACUUCGGCAAGUUUCCCAUGCAAUUCAGAUAAUCAGAGCUUAGAGAUCCUCAUCAGGUGCUUUUCCUACCAGUAAACGUUAGCCAGAUCAGAUUCUAUCAGCAGUACUUGAUAGGGCCAUUGUGAAAGAAAUGGUGUCUCGUUUGUCAUAAUUCAGAUAAUCAGAGCUUAGAGAUCCUCAUCUGCAUCAGGUGCUUUUCCUACCAGUAGACCUUAGCCAGAUCAGAUUUUAUCAUUAGUGAUUUUAUCAGCAGUACUUGAUAGGGCCAUUGUGAAAAAAAAAGGUGUCUCCUUUGUCAUAAUUAACUAUAUCUAUAGCCAAAAUUUAAAAUACUCAUUUAAAUCUUUUCUACUUCCACAUCUGGUAUCCCAAACCUCAAGAUUCAUGUUUUAUAAGUUAUUUUUUGAUCAUUGCAGACAAGGUUUUAAAUCCCCUAAGAUGGGGGUGUCCCAGUUUCUCCAUUGAACAUGACAUCCUACUGUCCCACCCUGUCCUGGCAGUGGUCCCGGCCAUGAAUCUCAAUAGAACACCUCAGUCUCUCUCUCCUUUCUUUUCCUUCUUUCCUUUCUUUCUUUUUUUCUACCUUCCUUUCUUUCCUUUCCUUUCCUUUUUCUUAUCAUUUCCUUUAUUUCUUUUUUCCUUUUUCUUCUUUCUCUUUCCUUUCUUCCUUCUUUCCUUUUUCUUCUUUUCCUUCCUUUCACUUUUUCUUUUUCUUCAUCUUUCCUUCUUUUCUUUCUUUUCUCUUCUUCUUUGGGUUUCGGAGUCCCGACCCUAUCCUAGUCCCAUUUUCUCAAAGGAAUGGGACGAGACAGCCUGAAUGCACCCCGUCCCGCCGGGAUUUAAAACCAGCGGGACCUAAAACCUUAAUUACAGAUGCAUGGCAUGAAGACACUGAAUUGAGUUCAUGACAUAAAGAUAAUGGCUGACAACUGGUUGCAGGACAAAAACAAGUCAGACUAGGGAGAGGGGAAAAAAAUACAGAAAGUGUUCAGGUAUUUCAUGAAAAGUUGCACUAACCUUGACUCCAGGUGGAGGUGUUCCAGUUUUCGCUGUAGUUGUGCUUCCAAAGUUGAACAUUGUCUUCUUCUCCGCAGGCUUUAAUAUUUGGAAAGAACACAUCAGAGUAUCAUCUACAUUCAUCAUGGCACCCGCAUUGUCAAAUUCCCCACAGUAGUUUGGUGCCGAGAAUAUUGUCACAAGUUGCCUGUUAGCAAAGAAUUCAUAUCCAUCUUCCACCACCUGGUACAAGAAGUAUUUUGAAUUAAAAGAGUGAACUUACUUCAGCACCAGCAAAAUAAACAAAAGAAAUAAGCAUUUAUAACCUGAUGAGCACGACAAAUGAGGUCGAGAUCAUGUUUUUGAAGGAACUCAGUCACCUUAUCAGGGCCAAAUGUGUAUGAAACCCCUCUGUCAUUCAUACCCCACCCCUGAAUGUCCUUACUUGGAUCUGACCAAAGAAGAUCACAAAGCAAACCAGUGUCCGGCACAUCAGUAGGGCGAGCCAGGUUUCUUAUUUGAUCCAAAUUAGUCAAGUCUGGAGAAAGACCCCCGUGCAUACAAAGAAUUUUUUCAUCAAUGAGAGCUGCGACAGGCAGACAGUUAAAACAAUCUGUGAAGACUUUCCACAGCCUCACAUUGAAUCUGCGCUUACAUUCAUCAUAAAACCCAUAUAUGCGGUUUAUAGACGCACAUUCAUGAUUCCCCCUCAAGAGGAAAAAGUUCUCAGGGUAUUUAAUUUUAUAUGCCAAAAGGAGGCAUAUUGUCUCAAGACUUUGCUUUCCUCGAUCCACAUAAUCCCCUAAGAACAGGUAGUUGGCUUCAGGUGGAAAUCCGCCAUAUUCAAAAAGCCUUAGGAGAUCAGAAUACUGGCCAUGAAUAUCACCUGAGACCCCAAAGAAACCAUUAUGCCAAAUUUCCCAAACCCAAUUAAUGACUAGACCAAACUAUUUGCAAGCAAUGAGUAUUCCUGAAAUUUUCUCUCUGGAGUUCUCCACAACUGAUUAAGUUAAAACAGAAUGUCAACUUACCAUGAACAAGAACAACUGCAAUCAUAAAGUGAAAUUUGAUAAAAUUCCCAAGGCGGAAUAUGUGAAUAUGUGCAUUUUAUAGAUGCAAAUUAAAAAUAUCCUACAACAAUAGCUCAGCACAUAAAAAAAGAAGCUAAUGAGAAUGCUAAAGGAUCUUAAGUAAAGCAAAGCGCAUGAGAUCAUACCUCCCAACGGUAACUUGUUUGCUAGCUAAAAAUAAUCAAGGUGAUGAAUAAUAAAGUUCAAGAUGAGGUACAUCAGAGGGAGUCUAGCAUUAGGACCAAUUAAUGGGAAAGUCAUAAAAAAACAAGUGAGAUGGUUAGGUCAUAUGAUUCAAAUCAAACAAGGGUCGGAUUGAAUUGAAUCAUAAUCGAACUGCCAUUUAUGAUCGCUGGAAACUCCAUUUAAAAGUAUAGAAUGCAACUUUUCUUAAACAAUAAAACUAAGAACUGAUUAUAUAAUACGAUAUCUUAGCCUACCAAAUGAAAUUCUACUGGAGAUGUAACAUAUAUUAACAUGUUAAUUAGUAACACGUUAAAAAAUGCAUGUAAGAAUACCAAUACCAAAAUAAUACUUUUGACCAGCAACGUAGUACUUAAUACAACUAAACACUAAAUUCAAACAUAGAACUAAUUUCAUAAUACCAACAAUCUAUCAACCAAAGACUGUUUUAUAUUACAACUAAAUUGAAUACAAUUUUAUGAAAACAACCAGAUGAGAAUUAGCAAUACACAAAUUAUUUCAUUUCAUCUGGUAAUCAGUAAGAAUCUAAAUGCAUAUAAUAACAUUUUGCCAACAAUCCUUAUGAAUAAGGGUUAUUCCAAUUUUGCCUAGAAGUCAGAAUUAAGAAAAUAGGUAGAAGAAGACCUAGGCUGAGGUAGACUAUAAAUUUGAGGGCGUAUAUAGGUUACAGGUAAUGGCUUAUCCAUCAGUACGAUUCACAUAGUUAACCCCUUAUGGUCAUAAAACACUAGUUAAUAGUGCCAUAUUUAUGAUCUAACCCAAUAAGUACAAUUUAUGGAUGUUCGUUUCUGUUUAAAUUAUUUAAUGUGUCUAAUCAUUGUCCUGUAUGCCUAAUAUUUAAGAAUACGGCCUUAAUGUUCAGUAACUCAGGCUGAGUGCCAAAAUGCAUCACAAGCCAUCCAAGUUGAUGUUCCACAUUGCUUCAAGCAGAAACAAGUGUGGAAGUGAAAACUGGUCAAGAGCAGAUUCAGGUGUAGGUGCAUGGAAGAGAAUUCCUAAAAAAUGUUAGAAAAUGGAUCACUUAAGAAGCACGUGCAGGAGCAAGUUUCUUAGGAGAUUCCAAAGAUGGUACAGCAUCCUAGUUUAGAAACUUUCCUUCACAUACCACACAACUUAUCACAAUCUACACAUGCUAAAAAGAAAAUGUAAACCAAAAUCUCAAUGGUUCUGACAGAUUCAUGAUAUAGAUCAAUGCAAGCCUCUUUCUCCAUUAUUUGAAAAGCCAUUCAUUUAGUGGUCACUUGAUACAGAAACAACUAAGUUGAUCAAUAGGCAAUAAGUCUCCAAGACAUCUGAAAAAUUGUUAGACACUCCGAACAUCCUGGUUAACCUCACCACAUAAUUUGAUGAUACGACAAAACUAAGAUGAUAACGCCCAAUUAAUACUAAAUCUGUUGCAAAUCAGGGUAUGUUACAUGUUGAUCCUUAACAGGCACGAACGGGCAAGUAAGGAAUACAUUAUAAAAGAUAAUAUCUAUGACACAAAAUAGGGAAAAAGUCAACAUGGUUGCUAUCACAUGAAAUUUCCUAAAAGUACAACACCACUGCUCAUUCAAAUAUAAAGUUAUGAAAUUCUUAGUUCUAUUGUGGAGCACAUGUAUAAUAUAAGGCAAAACAUGUGCAACUUUAUAUAAGCAUUUCAUAUGCAUGUCCAUAUAUUGAACUACAGCUAUUACAUAGUUCUCAUGCAAUCUCAAAGUUUUUUACCAUAGAUAUGCAUGAAUAUUGGUGCCUCCAAGGUGGCAGACUUGUAGGAUUAUAGGAUAAAAGUCAUUAAAUUGAUAGCAAAAACAUAUAGGUCAACACAAAUACCAAGCUUAUGACAAUACAUGGAUGAUCUAUUAACUCCAUUAUAUAUGUUAUGAGAAGCAUGUCCAGCUCAUAACAAAAUAAUGGUUAAGAUGAACACUUAAUCUAAAGAAGACAUGCAGGUGUUAUGAGCACGGUGCAAGAGUUGAGUUGUGGCUCUAGAAUUGGCAUGGCAACCUUGGUUGAAGAUUCCGGCUUUUAUGAAUUGGAACUAAGCAAAUAUCAUGAAAAUUGCAAGACUAAUGUUAUUUCUGUCUUCCAAUCCAUGCAACUAUCUAGCUGAACAUGCAGAAACCUGAUCCGUUUGCUUACAUUGAAAGAGUUAAAAUAAAAUGUAAGCUAGUUGAGUUAUACCGAGAAAAAUCUAUUAAAGUAUGCAUAAACAGAGAUAAAAACAAAACAAAACAAACAUAAAACCUUUUCAUCUCCUAGGCUAUCUCCACCCAUGUCAUUUUAGGCCUACCCCUCCUUGUGCAUUUCAUGCACUCCCUCACAAGCACUUCCUUCAUCCUUCCAUGCAUAUUACCAAACCAUGCAUUACCACACAUGAUACUACAGAUAAUACAGGAAAACCUAUUAGCAUAAGCCAUGUGAAAAGUCCAAAAACAUUGCUCUAUGGUCAUUAACGUCUGAGAUCACAGUUCCUAGCUGAGGAUUGUGAUAACUUUGCAAUGUUUUUUGUCCUCUCCUAAUAAGCUCUUCACUGAAAAUCAAAGUAACAUUCUUCCAUCACGAGUAAAUAAAUGUAAGUUGCAAUAACAUAGUUUCAUGCCUGCUAUUCUCUCUAAUAAAAGCAGACAAACAACAAAAGCUUGUAAAGUUAGCAUCAUUCAAAUCAAAAAUAGAUAAUGUAUCUUAACUAGAGAUCAAUAACAUUGAUUAAAAAUGUCUUUUCCAUGGGGAAUUUUCAGGUCAGGCAUUAAAAGAAAAUCAAGGAACUAAAAAGGGAACUUAAAAAUAUUUUUCAAUAUACCAAGAUCAUUUAUUUAUGUUUCACCAUUUGGGUUUUCUGACAUCUGACAACAAACAUAACUUCAAAAAGCACACCAUAGCUGUCUCGCUGUGUAUAAAGUCAAUACUAGAAAAAUAUUUCUCAUCUAUUGUCCUCGAAAACAAAAUGCUCUAGUUCCAUCUCCUCAUGAACCACAUAAGACUAAAUUUCAGGUUUUAUUAUAUAUAUUAGCUUUCCCAGUAUCACCAGAUACUUCACAGAACCAUUCAAGACACCUUCAUUUUAGGUCUACAAACUACAUGCAUAUGUUCCUCCAAGAAGAAUCUCUUUCUUGUUUACAAGUUUAGAUUUUUCACUUGAUUUGGCAGAAGAAGAUUCAUCUUUCUCUAGCUCUAAGACUACAUUCUUGAAAAUUUUGAGUCUACACAUUGUAUUUCUGCCCACAUACAAUGAAAGAAAAUUAUUAGUUACAAUAUUUUGCAGCAUACCAUAUAAUGAAACCUACGAUGCAUCAAUAUAGAAUAAAAAUUUAAUAUAUGCUUCAAUAUAGAAUAAAAAAUUAAUAUAUGAUUGACAUUAAAGAACCUACAUGGGUCUGAGAAUGCACAGAACUGACGAUAUGCUGGGUUACUAAAAUUGAACAGUAUUCCAAAUUUCUUUUAGUUACCUUUAUCUAUUACAUAACAAUGGAGAAACUGUUGCGUUUUGCAAGCAUCAGAGACAGACAACGACAAUAAAGACUUUGCAACCAGAGUUUCACUUUGCAGAAAGCUCUAACAAUAUUAGUAACCCAAGUAAAGGAUAAUCUGCAAGGGCCUGUUGGACAUUGGUGUUGUUUUCGUGAUUUUUUUUUCUCUACAAAAUAGUGGAAUGCCACGUGGGAAUUGAUAUUGAAGAUAGCAUUUGCACAAAACUUCCGCUAUUCCUUGAUUUUAAUUUCACUCUUUUGUUUGAGAUAGAUAAAUCCUUGCUACCAAAAUCUCUAUGGAUUUCACAAACAAUUCUGAUAACGAAAGGGUUUCGUCAUACAUGCUGUUCAGUCUAGUUCAUUUUUAUUCUUGGGUUUCUGAAAAGAAAACGAGAAAGCAAAAUGAAUACCAAACGGACCGUAAUAUUUUGCACUGGGAAUCCCAUAUCCUGUCUCCAACCACGCAUUCAAACAUUCAGAUAAUAGACAAAAGAAAAACAAGCAUCUCAUCACAACAUUCACUGGUUCAUCAAAGUCCCAACAUUUCCCCACCGACACCAAUAACCAAACAAAACCUAUUCCCAAGAAGCCAUUACGGAAGAAACCCAGAUCAAGAAAUAUCAAAAAUCAAUAACCCAGAAACAGAAAAAUAAGCAACUUUUUAGAUUGAAGAGCCCCAAUGUUUUCAACGCCCGUUGCCUUCAACAUCGCAGUGGAGCAAAUUUAUCUAAUCACGGCAUUCGCUGAUUCAUCCAGGUCCCAUCCUUCCCCACCGACAUCGACAACCAACCAAAAUCCAUAAUCGUGAAACAAUUUUGACACAAACCCCGUUCAAGAAUCAUCGAGAGGGAUUUAUAAGAUUUACCGCAAAUCUUGAUGGGGGCCUCAAGCUCAAGAAGAUUGGGCUGCUGCAAGAAGAUGUCCCUGGACACGACGCAGAGCUGCCGGAUCUCCGCCUCCGAGAGCUGCACCUGCUUCCCCGGCCGAAUCCCCCUCGCUUCCAGCAGCCGCCUUAUGAUAUCAUCCAGAAGACCAGGAUCCAUCCCCCCACACAACAGACCCCAGAUCGAACAAAACCCUAGAAAUCCAGAAGUAAAAGGAGGCCCCUUUUAUUUCUCUUUGCCAAGAUCACGAAUCGACCCAGGAAGAGGAAGGAGGCAGAAGGUGGCCCCUUUCCUCCGCCGCCGUUCCCUUCCUUUCCCUCGCUCCGAUUGAGAUCUCCUCAAGCAUUCCUCUCGAUCUCCCUCGUUUCCUCUCUCGAUCGCAGGGGCUUCUCCUGCUCUCAGAGAGGAAAUGGAGAUCGCCCCCGCCGUCCCCGCUUCCUGCGAAGAAUACCGGAGAGCGAGAGAAUAUUUACGACUUUUUUAUUUUGGUCGCGACUCGCGAGGGAUGGAGACUGAAGAAAGAUCGAGUCCGCCGUUCGGUGUAAACAAUAGCUCCAACCGGGGGGUCCCAUACGCACAUGUGUCCUUAAAAAUCGCGUUGGGCCUGUUGGCCUUAAACACGGAACUCAAAGUCCUACGAGGAUUGCGCUCGUUACAUUAGAUGACGGGAGUUCAAGUUACUCGGACAGCAUGGAGGGGAUGCGGCUGACCAGAGAAGGAUCCGGAGCGGAGAUAGGUGAGGUGAUUGGACGGCAGUGAUUCUGUUGAUUCAGAUUUUUCUUUUUUGAAUUUAAUAGUGGUUUGGUGUGCCAGCGGGAUGGGGAAGUCUAUCGUGGCCGUCAGAUCUGCCGACUAAAUUGAUCGGACGGUGAAGUGCCCGGAGUUGCGGGGCGAGUGCAUCGGCUCGAACGCUGAUAAAUAUUCGGGAUAUGGUGUAGCGAGGGACGGAGUGGACCAUGCGGAUAAUAGCAUAAUAGCUAAUCAUGAAAUGACACGUGGACAACAAGCGGGACAUAUUGUGCACCGCUCGGCCAUCCGCCUACCUCUGCGGAGCGGGCAUGUACAGUGUCCGUGACAGUGGCACGUGUAACUUUCACACGAGUGAAUGUGGAUUAAUAUUCUGGCUGAGCAGUGAGGGACCGAGUGGACCAUGUGGAAAAUAGGAUGAUAGCUAAUCAUGAAAUGACACGUGAACAAUAAAAUCAACAUACUGUGCACCGCUCGGCUACCCGCCUACCUCUUCGGAGCGUGCAUGUACAACGUCCGUGACUUUUGGCACGUGUAACUUUCACACGAGUGAAUCGGUUCUCCCUAAUUGGUUGGCAAACGGAAUUGUAUUUGAGUUUGAAAAGUGAGUAUUUCAGUAUUACUAUUUUGCAUAAAAUCAAUGCAUAAAGAGCAUAGUUUUUAAUGUUUGAUUGUCAUGUGUUCAUUCUAUCUAAUGUUUUUUUUUUCUGCAUUAAGAACUAGAUUUUUGUGUGUCGAAAUCACUUAGAACGAGAAUAAAAACGUGAAGGAUGGUUUGGGCACAUAAAAUAUAAUUGCAUGAUCAUACCCUCUAGAGUAAUGUUGAAAAUUGGAUUGAUGAGUAAUACUUGCGUAUGCCAUGAAAAAUUUAGACUUUUUUCAUAUUGGGCUUUUCAUCUUGAUUGAAUUACAGGUUAAUAUAUUGAUUUGUAUCAAUAUCAAGCAUUCACCGAUACCAUAUGUAUAUCCUUAUUGCUAUUAGUUAUGUCAAAUAUUAAUGAAUAUAAUACUUUUUAUUGUAUAUUUGGAUGAUUGUGCUGAAAAUUCUAUUAGACUCGUAGAUUGGGCCAGAACAAUCAGUAUUAUCAUAGGACUAUAAGCUAGGUUAGACCUGCUAAGGUCUUUUUAUGCAUACCCCAAGCACAGUACAACUAUUUAUGCGUGCAUAUGUAGGCAUGCUCACAGACACAUGCACAACAUGUCCAAUUGAUAUUAUUUAUAUUUCUCAUGCCAACUUAAACUAUACAUCGGGCUGCAAGAAUUGUUGCAACUGCAGGUUAAAUUUCAAGCCCAACUCCACGAGAGCAGCUAAAAUAACAAUUGUUCAACAUCUGAGACCUAUCCACCUUUUUUUUCUUUCUUUCGAUAAACAUAUUGAUGUGCUUCUCUUGAAAUGUACUCCAAAUUCAAACUCAGGAAAUUGUACAUGUUCUUGACAUUUAAUCCUUAUCCUAUAAUAGUGAUCAUAUCUGUGCCUCAUCUGGAUCCAGUCGCCCACUAAUACUACUAACCCAAAAAGCAUGUGAAUAACCCCUGCCAUCCUUUGCAUGGCUUAUUACCCCAAACUGGACAGGGGUUGUAUCUUUCGUACAGAAGGACUCAUGUUUUUCAUGCGAAUCCACUACUGGAUCCCACGAUAGUUGCUUCAAGAUCGGUGCAGGUGGAUAAAUGGAAAGUUUGGAGUGAUUUAAGAUUUGUGUAGAGCAUGAUCCAAUGGUCAAUACUGUAAAAAAGAAUCAAUCACUUUUUUGCAUGAACGGUACAGCUGAGACCCUCCAUACCCCCACCUCUAACAAACAUAGUGAAGCCUUUUUUGUCUUUCAUUGUAUCUGCUUCAAGUUAGUCGUUCUCUUAGGAGUCAUAGCUCUCCCCGAAACCUCCAAUGCUGGCUCCAAACCUUCGAUGAUACAAACUUGACAAGUACAUCUCGAUGCCUUGGCUUAAGUCACAUAAGAAGCUACCGUGACAUAUGAAUAAGUUGUUUCGCCCCGAACCUAUCAUCUAGUUGACACGUGAAAUGGCAAAGAAAAUAAGGGAUCCAGCAGUUGUAGCUUGUUUCAAAUUAUUUGGAUGAGAUUCUAGAUUGUUACACAAGUCAUCAUCAGCUUGGCACCGUAAACCAUCACACAAGCCAUGAAUAGAGGAGUAGUUAUUGGUUGGCCCAGGUCCACUGGUCAGCUAGUGGACCGGUCCAACCGUGAAGUGGACAAGUCCAACUGCGAAGUAACAUAUAGAAACAUGGACCAAAAGGAAAGCCUGUAUGCAUUUAAUACAGAUUUAUAGCAGUCUACUCCACCUCAAGUGAGAUAGUAGUAGAACAGGUUGAUGUUGAAAGUCCGCCAGCCACAAAUCUAUAAAACACAAGAAGAAAUAUGCGUAUGGUAAGGUAGUUCACAGAGCCUUGCUAGCGUUUCUUACAAGAAAAUAGUCCACCAUAUAGCUUUGAGCUCUCGGAACAUGGUUCGUCAAGUCAGGAUCUCCUUGUACAAUUACUGGAACUAUAUUGCAACCAUGAUACAUGAGAUAUAGACUCCGAGAAGCCUCUUAUCUCUAUACUCCAGCAAUGCUCCACAUGCAGCAAGGCAGCCCUUUAUUCAGCGUCAUUUUUAGUUGAGCGGAUCCAUCGUUGAGUUGGUGGACCAGUCCAACCAUCAAGUAUUAAAUUUUAUACUAAAGAUAAUGAAAAAUUUAGAAAAAUCUAAAACAAUAGAGUUAUGGUGCAAGCGGACAAAAAAAAUUAUUAUGGUGCUCUUAUAAAUUUUUAUGAGUUUGAUUAUUAUGGAAAGCUUAAGGUAGCAUUAUUUUGAGGUGAUUGAGUGGAUAUAAACUCACCUAGAAGUUUGAACUAAGACACAAAUGAGUUUAUAUUUAUAAAUUUUUCAAUGAUACAUACUAGUAUGUUAUUGAAGGAUGAUCUAUUCGUUUUUACAUCUCAAGCUCGAUAAGUAUUUUUUUUUUUGCAAGACUCAAAGGAUAAGGAAUGGACUGUUAUCAUUAAGACUAAACCUAGGUACUUGUAUGAUAUGGCGAAAGGGUUGGAGCAAGAGGAUAAUAUAUAAGACUUAUACUCAGUGUAUGCCUUGUAAUAUUGUCCCAACCGAUAAACUAAACGCUAUAACAAGUUUGGUUAGGAUGGAUGUUGAAGGAGAGAAGAAUAAUGCUUGAUUUUUAUUGGUGAGAAAUAUUUACGCUGUAUACAUUGUAUGAAAAAUAUUAUCUUCUUUUAUCAUGUUCGUUUAAUAAAUAUUGUUUCUUAUAAGCAAUUUAUUUAGUAUUGAUUUUUAUGUAACUGAUUGAUUUUUAUUUAUGCAUAUUAGAUAACAUUAUGCGCCGAGAAAAAUGAUUCAAAGAUAUAGAGUUUCAGCAUUCUCAAGCUGGAUCAUUUUUUGAUCAGUUCCUGCAGUCUCAACAGCAACACGAGCCCCAACAGCCUGAUAUACAUGACCAGCAAUACGAGCCCCAGUCUAGCAUGAGCCUCCUACUGAUUAUCCAGGCAAGAAAGUUAUUAUGGAUGACCUGCAGAUUCAGGAUAAUUUAAUUAAAAUAUUAAUAGUGCUAUUCCUAUUAUGAUUUAAUAUAUAUUUUAUUACAUGACACUUUAUUUUAUUUAAUGCAUAAUUAAUAGUGUUGAAUAUGUUUUUUGCUUUUUAUGUGUUUUUCGUAGAUAAAAAGAGGAGACUGGGGAUGAGACAAGGACCUACUUGAGCAAGGGAUCGAUGUGGGGCGGCUUCGUGAGAGUGAGAGGAUUGUCAUCGAUCUAAUGCAACCAAGUGGGCAGCCCCUCAAGAGGGCUGGAAGUAUAUUAGAAGGUUUUCUAGGUUCGAUUGCGUGGAAAGGUUAGUGUCCAUUCAACUAUGUUAAGUAGAAUGAUAUGCUUCUUUCGUAUAAGGUGGAGCUUCUACGAGUUGUACAAAACUCAAAAUAUAACAUCUAACAUCUAAAGCAGCAUAGUACUUUUUCCAUCAUCGUAACGUAACUUUUAUUAUGGAGCUGAUUUUAUGAUCUAGGUUAGACUUUGUUUCUGAAAAAUUUUCGGGGGAUGAUGAUGAGAAAAUACUUAUUGAGGUGUCUUCGUAUGAGAUCAAGUUGAUGGUUCGACAAGUAGUCCUGCGCUUUACUAUUCUGAUCAAUUCGAGGGAACCAACCCACCACUUCAUGCAUGCCUACGAAGGGAUGUAUAUUGAAAGAGUGAUGCUCCAUAACCAACUUAUGAUAAUAAAAUUCAAAACAUAACAUCUAAAUAGCAUACAAUUUUCCCAUCAUCAUCACAUAUAACUUCUAAUUAAACUACUGAGAUGGUUGUAUGGUCCCGGUCUGAAGUACGUUUCUUGUUAAAAAAAAACGAUCAUAUCCUUUUUCGAGAACAUAAUCUCGCUGAAACUUGCCAAAUCGUCUACUUUGUAAGGGGUGGCGUGAAGAUGAGAAUGCUUGGUGCCACCUUUUGAAUAAUGGAAGCACCUACUGCGUGGAAAAAAGAGAGAGAACGGACAGGAAGUGCUUCACCCCGUGUCCCUAGUCACACCAGGAGAGGUUUUAGCGUUGUGAGACGUCUCUGGCCCCGUCGUCCUUGCCGCACCGGGAUUGGUUUCGGCAGCAUCUUGAUGACCGAAGUGUUGAAAGGAGGGACAGACCAUUAAGUGCGGAAAUUGUUGACACUACGCCAUGGGAAAGCAAAUCAGAUAAUGACCUGAAACCAGGCUACUGGAACGUACUAAAGCUACGGUCCCGUCGCCUAGCCUUCUUCGCUACCUUCGUUGCGAGGCUACUCCAUUGCCUGCAGAUCCAAGUCAAACGAUUCUGAGCCCUGUCACGUCUAAAUGUACCUGAGAAAUUUGAUUAGUCAAAAGAGAAAUGUCGAUUACUGGAAAGCCUCUUGCAAUGCAGAAAACUUAUUGACAUUCUACAUACAUCUUCUCCAUUAAGGGGUAAAUAUAUUAUGAUAUUGUUAACCUUUGUUGAAUCACCAACCAGAGAGGGAAGUGCAUUUAUCUAAUGAGGAUUGCGGCCGCUGGUUUUUCUUUUCUAUGGUCUUACGUACCCAUCCAUAUGUAUACUCAGGCACAUUCAUCACAUAUGUAUGGCACUAGUAUGACAUGAAUUCAGAAGAUGUGAUGUAUCAAGGUGUUGAUAGAGGUUCUGCAUCUAGGCUGGAUGAGACACAAGGUUACACGUACAACUCAAUUAAAAUUAUCCAUAAAAUUUGCUACCUGUCUACCGCACUAGCCCGGCACUAGAUCCUUCUACAAUUUUUUAAAUAUCCUACCGUCCACGCUUGAGACAACAAACAGCCGUCCUUUUUGACAAUUUCAUCCACCCUGGGACGCAAAAGUCUUGUAAACGUGCCGCUCUCAAUACCAUACAUCCCACCACCUACCUUUCCAACUCUCAUGCACCCACAUAUCCAUGGCACGAAAAAACGCCUAUAAAUACCCCACCGACUCCAAUUCACGGCACAAACACCCAAGAACUUCCAGACAAACAAAAGCCAUGGUCCCAAAAUACCUUCUUCUAGCCCUUCUCGUAGGAGUGGUGGCUCUCACCACUCCCUCCGACGCUGGCCACAAGCCCCCGGAGACGAAGCCACCAACUCCUAUCCACAAACCUCCAACCGGACACAAACCCCCAACUCUUGCCGACGAGAAGAAGACGUCUGUGGACCAGCACAAGCCUCCUGCUCCUGGUGGCAAGCAUCCUGGUCCUCCUGGACACAAGCCGCCUUCCCUCUCCGAUGCCAAGGAUACUAGCCACAUCCCGGAGCCUAAGCCCAAACCAUAUGGGAAGCCACCGGUGCAUGUGAAGCCGCCGGGACCUUACAAGCCACCUCACAAGCCACCUCACAAGCCACCGUCCGCUGACCACCUGAACUAGAGAGGGCUGCUGUGCUGCAGCUCGACGCAUGGGGGUUGGAUAUCCAAAUAAGAGGCUUCCUUAGACGUUAUAUAAAAUACACACGCGGCAUGUGUCAUAAUUUAACGUUAUGCUUUUAUCUGUAUGCAUGACAUGAUUUCCUGCUACUAGCUAGAGAGGCCUCGAUCGCCAUGUGUACUGCUAUGUAUCUGGCUUUGCUAGUACAAUGAGAAACUUUGACAAGCCAAUAUCUUACUGGAAAAUACGUAAGUAGUGCUAAAUUAUCUUCUUGCCAAUGACUGGAGCUCUGGGCUACGUACCAUUUUUUUUCAUUAUAUAAAAUAAAAUCCGACAAGCGGUGCGAGGAUCCAUACGAGCAAGUUCUUAACCCUAUAUGGGUUGCAAUUAAUUAUACAAAACUAAAAAAUCUAAAUAAUAUUUGAUUGUUCAAUUUUUUUACUAGAAAAAGGUCUUGAAGUGUGAUAAAUGGUAAUAGAAUGGACUUGGCUCAAGGCGUUACUAAGAUUCGGCGGGUGCUGCAGUAUAAUUUUUUUUAGAGAGAGAAUGCUAAAACUUAAACGGAGAGGAGUAUAUGAGAGCUCUUGCAUAUAUGUUUUUUAGGUCAAAAAAAUCUAAAAAUCUAAAUAAUACUUUUUCAGUUGGCCUGUUUGGAUGAGCUCAUGGGUCGCUAUAAACAUAUUUCAACUUUUGGUGGGGUGUAGGGAUAUAGAGAAUUUGCAUGUCAAUGUGACUGAGGCUGUCCCUGUUGAAAAAGUUAUGAAGAGGAGGUGGUCCGUUGAGAAGGGCCCUGACUUUCGCACUGGAUUGCACUCGCCGCCACUAUUGCUCCUUGCCUUCGGCAGGCAUCUUUGUAAGGAAGAGCCCGUCCUUCUCUUUAAACGGCUUCAAUCCCGGCUUUGUGAAGUACAAGAUGGAAGAUUAUCUCCAACAAAUAAACCAACUGGGAGAAGUUGGAUUAUCCCACUAUCUCCAUCUAAGCCUCUCUGUUCUCCGAGGACUAUUUUGAGAAGCUAAUGAGAAUCCAACAAUCUUACCUAAGAAGUGAUGUAUGUUGGAUCGGACCCUCAUCUUUAGUUUCUUUUCUCAAUGAUCUCUUCAAGGAAUAUUACUUUCCACCUUACCCAACAAAGAAUAUUCGUUGUUGUACAGCUCAGCUCAGCACAUAGAGGGAGAGAGGAAAGUCAAUGAGGGGGAAAGGUCCAAUGUGGCAUCGGCUGCAGUCCACAAUAUAAACUACAGAACGUGUGUUGAGGCUAGACGCGUAGUAUACCUAAGAUACAUGUAUUUAGAGAUGCAGUGUUUCAUGAUUUUCAGGCCGGAUCAUCUUCUAAUCAGUCCCCAAAGUCUCAGUAGUCCCACUAGGCCUAGCACCUCGACAUACAUGACCAGCAACUCGAACCCCAGUCCCAGUACGAGCCUCCUGUUGAUUACCUAGGCAAAGAGGUUAUUAUGGAUGGCUUUCAGAUCCAGAAUAAUUUAAUUAAAAUAUCAAAAGUGUUAUUCCUAUUACAAUUUAAAUAUUUUAUAAUAUUUGACUUCAUUUAUUUAAUACAUAAUUAAUAGUUUUGAAUAUAUAUUUGUUUUCAUGUGUUUUUCAUAAAUGGAAAUGGGAGAGUGAGGACAAAACAGAGAUCUACUCGAGCAAGAGAUGUAUGACAGCUUCGUGAGGGUGAGAGGAUCGUCAUUCGAUGCAACCUAAUGGGGCAGCCCAGCAAAAGCGCUGGAAGCAUAUUAGCAAGUUUUCUAGGAUCAAUUAUGUGGAAAGAUCACCUGUAUCCGCUCAACUAUACUAAGUGGAAUGAUAUGCUUUCUUCGUAUAAGGUUAAGCUUCUGCGAGUUGUAUAGGUAAAAAAUUAAAUUUGAUAUUGUAUGUUAAUUUGCUAGAUAUCAUAAUUAUAUAAUUUGAUUUAACAUUUAUAAUAUUCUUUACUUUUGGUGUAGAGUAAGUUUGCGCUUUCUCUAGAAAGCCAUGACUGGGUGCUGAAGUCCCUCAACUACAAAUAGAAAAAAUUUAGGGAGAAGUUGAAGAUGGAGUACAGGGGAAAGGUUAUGACAGAAGAAUAGGUUGCUCGUAAUUGUCCUCCUGUUGUAUACCUUCAUAAGUGGAGAAAACUUGUUCACUACUGAUUUUGUAAGAGAUGACAAGUUAUGUGUACUCUCUUAAUAUCUUAUAUUUUAUUUUUUUAUUAAUAUAGAUUGCAAAUAUACACAUCAAAUAUAUUACACUGUCUACCAAAAUUGGUAGAGCUACAUGAGCAUCUUAUACUGUUCCUCACACAUCAAGCUCUAAGAGUUAUGUAAGGUAUGGAGAUAAAUUCAUAUUUUUCUUUUAAACUCUUUGGCAUAUUUCAAAUUCCUUGUUAGAUUUAUUUGUUUUAUAUUGAAAUACUUAUGCUUCUUAAUAAAACUAUGUAUUAUGUAUCGUGUGCCAUGUAUCAUGAUACUUAUGAGUCUUAUUAAAACUCUUUGACUUUUUUUACUUCAAAUUGAAAUUUUAAUCUUCAUAUUGGACUAUGUAUCAUGCAUCAUGUAUCAUAUAAUGUGUAUCAUGAACCGUGUAUCUUCUACCAUAUAUCACGUACUAUGGAUGAUGUAUCAUAUAACAUAUAUUUUUUGUUGUAGAUGGAAGAGCAUGGGAGGGAACCUGAUGAGGUAGAGUUCUACAGGAUGACUCAUACCCAUCGAGAUGGCAACUAUAUUUUUUCAAACAUUAAUAUGGAACUUUUUUUUAAAAUAUAGGAGAAGGCUACAUCCCUUAUUGCAGAACGUGUUGGAGACUCAUCAUCAUCUAGGGAGACCAGUCACGUCGAAUCUUAGGUGUUCACCAAAUUGAUGGAACCAGAGCGUUAUGGUCGAUUGAGGGGUUAUGACAUUGGAGUUACCCUCACUCAGUUGUCUGGAGUGAACAAAUAUACCCAUAAUGUUAGAUAUAGUAGUAGCACUGCAGACAUCCGUAAGUUGGAGACAAAGAUGGAGAAGAUGGGGCAAAGAAAUCAGAUAGAGAUAUAAUCUUUAAUGGCUCAGCUUGACCAAAUUACAAUUUUGUUGCAAAGGUUUGUCUCUCCUUAGAUAAAUAACUAUAUCUAUUUGAAUAUUUUACAUAAUUAUUGUGCAUAUUUUUAUAUGAGCUUAAUGAUUUAUAAUACUUUGCAAUUCUUGUAUUCUCAACUUCUAAAGUUUUUAUUUUUUUUCUUAUAGAUUUUUGAUACUUCUAGCAAUUGUAGAGAUGAUGAUGAUGAUGCCAUGAACCACUAAUAGCCCUUAGACUUUUUUUAAGAGUUUUAUGUAUAUAUUUUUAUGUUUUUGGAAGCACUUUGAGUUGUAAUGGAUAUUCAAUCAUGUUUGACAACGCAAAUAUAAUCAAAUUUGAUAAUAUAAAUAUUUGCUAUUUUUAUAUAUGAUAUAUGUGUUAUUAUAUGACUUCUGUUACGUAUGUAUUUAAUAUAUACUUUUGUAUACAGAUUUUUAUAAUUUUUAAAAUAAAUUUAAAAAAUACUUUAUAUUUAAGAUACUAAAAAGCGUCACCAUAUUUUAAAGUUAUGAUAAUGGAACUCAAAAUAUAACAUCUAAAUUCUAAAGCAACAUAGUACUUUUCCUGUCAUCGUUGCAUAACUUUUAUCAUGGAGAAGAUUUUAUGAUUUAGGUUAGCGGUUCUGUUCCCGAAAAAUUUCCGGGGGGAUGAUGACGAGAAUUAAAAUAUUGAUGUCUUCGUAUGAAAUCAAGUUGAUAAUUGGACAAGUAGUCCUGCGCUUUACUAGUCUAAAUUCAAGGGAACCAACCCACCACUUCAUGCAUGUAAUGUCCGGGCCCAGAACCUACUAGGCCCAAUAAGAAGUAGGCCCAGUUAGGGGUUUGGGCCCAAAUUUUUACUGUGGGCAGUAUUAUUAUAAUGGUUAUUAUAAUGGUUAAAAAAAAUAAAAACGAAGGGAUAAGACCGACAGGGAAGGGUUACCUCACCCCCUGCUGGCAGCCGAUGCCGGGCCGGAGACAAGGGGGGCGGCGGCCAGUCCCGGAGCAGGGAGGAAUGGAGAGGAUGGGACCUCUCAGAGGGGGGGGGGUCUCAUCCUCUAAACAAAUUAUUUAAGCCUCUGCCGGCAACCCCAAGGGACAGACCCCCUAGAAUACUGAACGAGAGAGUGAGAGAGCCGAAGCCUUGGAGCCGAAGGCAAAGGAGCCCUGAAGCUCCAAGAGGAAGGAGGGACUACCAGGGGGAGAACUGCCCAACGGUAACCAGCAAAAAUCCAGGUAAGUGGCCCCUUUUAAUAAAAUUUUAGGAAGUGGGGAAAUCCUCUGUGGGGUAUUCUCCCCUCUGUUUCAACUAUGGGACAAAGAGGAGGAGACCGGCAGAAGGGAGAAGGGUCACGGGCCGGACCCAUAGACCUCGGACCGGCCUGAGAACGGCCGCGGCCCAAGGCCAGGCCCGAUGACCACUCGGGCCGAGCCGCCUGCAGGGCACCGCNNNNNNNNNNNNNNNNNNNNNNNNNNNNNNNNNNNNNNNNNNNNNNNNNNNNNNNNNNNNNNNNNNNNNNNNNNNNNNNNNNNNNNNNNNNNNNNNNNNNNNNNNNNNNNNNNNNNNNNNNNNNNNNNNNNNNNNNNNNNNNNNNNNNNNNNNNNNNNNNNNNNNNNNNNNNNNNNNNNNNNNNNNNNNNNNNNNNNNNNNNNNNNNNNNNNNNNNNNNNNNNNNNNNNNNNNNNNNNNNNNNNNNNNNNNNNNNNNNNNNNNNNNNNNNNNNNNNNNNNNNNNNNNNNNNNNNNNNNNNNNNNNNNNNNNNNNNNNNNNNNNNNNNNNNNNNNNNNNNNNNNNNNNNNNNNNNNNNNNNNNNNNNNNNNNNNNNNNNNNNNNNNNNNNNNNNNNNNNNNNNNNNNNNNNNNNNNNNNNNNNNNNNNNNNNNNNNNNNNNNNNNNNNNNNNNNNNNNNNNNNNNNNNNNNNNNNNNNNNNNNNNNNNNNNNNNNNNNNNNNNNNNNNNNNNNNNNNNNNNNNNNNNNNNNNNNNNNNNNNNNNNNNNNNNNNNNNNNNNNNNNNNNNNNNNNNNNNNNNNNNNNNNNNNNNNNNNNNNNNNNNNNNNNNNNNNNNNNNNNNNNNNNNNNNNNNNNNNNNNNNNNNNNNNNNNNNNNNNNNNNNNNNNNNNNNNNNNNNNNNNNNNNNNNNNNNNNNNNNNNNNNNNNNNNNNNNNNNNNNNNNNNNNNNNNNNNNNNNNNNNNNNNNNNNNNNNNNNNNNNNNNNNNNNNNNNNNNNNNNNNNNNNNNNNNNNNNNNNNNNNNNNNNNNNNNNNNNNNNNNNNNNNNNNNNNNNNNNNNNNNNNNNNNNNNNNNNNNNNNNNNNNNNNNNNNNNNNNNNNNNNNNNNNNNNNNNNNNNNNNNNNNNNNNNNNNNNNNNNNNNNNNNNNNNNNNNNNNNNNNNNNNNNNNNNNNNNNNNNNNNNNNNNNNNNNNNNNNNNNNNNNNNNNNNNNNNNNNNNNNNNNNNNNNNNNNNNNNNNNNNNNNNNNNNNNNNNNNNNNNNNNNNNNNNNNNNNNNNNNNNNNNNNNNNNNNNNNNNNNNNNNNNNNNNNNNNNNNNNNNNNNNNNNNNNNNNNNNNNNNNNNNNNNNNNNNNNNNNNNNNNNNNNNNNNNNNNNNNNNNNNNNNNNNNNNNNNNNNNNNNNNNNNNNNNNNNNNNNNNNNNNNNNNNNNNNNNNNNNNNNNNNNNNNNNNNNNNNNNNNNNNNNNNNNNNNNNNNNNNNNNNNNNNNNNNNNNNNNNNNNNNNNNNNNNNNNNNNNNNNNNNNNNNNNNNNNNNNNNNNNNNNNNNNNNNNNNNNNNNNNNNNNNNNNNNNNNNNNNNNNNNNNNNNNNNNNNNNNNNNNNNNNNNNNNNNNNNNNNNNNNNNNNNNNNNNNNNNNNNNNNNNNNNNNNNNNNNNNNNNNNNNNNNNNNNNNNNNNNNNNNNNNNNNNNNNNNNNNNNNNNNNNNNNNNNNNNNNNNNNNNNNNNNNNNNNNNNNNNNNNNNNNNNNNNNNNNNNNNNNNNNNNNNNNNNNNNNNNNNNNNNNNNNNNNNNNNNNNNNNNNNNNNNNNNNNNNNNNNNNNNNNNNNNNNNNNNNNNNNNNNNNNNNNNNNNNNNNNNNNNNNNNNNNNNNNNNNNNNNNNNNNNNNNNNNNNNNNNNNNNNNNNNNNNNNNNNNNNNNNNNNNNNNNNNNNNNNNNNNNNNNNNNNNNNNNNNNNNNNNNNNNNNNNNNNNNNNNNNNNNNNNNNNNNNNNNNNNNNNNNNNNNNNNNNNNNNNNNNNNNNNNNNNNNNNNNNNNNNNNNNNNNNNNNNNNNNNNNNNNNNNNNNNNNNNNNNNNNNNNNNNNNNNNNNNNNNNNNNNNNNNNNNNNNNNNNNNNNNNNNNNNNNNNNNNNNNNNNNNNNNNNNNNNNNNNNNNNNNNNNNNNNNNNNNNNNNNNNNNNNNNNNNNNNNNNNNNNNNNNNNNNNNNNNNNNNNNNNNNNNNNNNNNNNNNNNNNNNNNNNNNNNNNNNNNNNNNNNNNNNNNNNNNNNNNNNNNNNNNNNNNNNNNNNNNNNNNNNNNNNNNNNNCAGGCUCGUUUCAGAGCCUGGGUAUAUGAGGCGGGUGCUUCCAAAUCCUGCAGAUGCGUUUUUGGGGAGAAGCAAAAUCGGUGAGGGGUGAAGGACGCUUGCAUGAAGCCCCGGAACCGGCCAACAUCUGGCAGGGGAGCCCCGUGUUUCCCCCUCAUGUGGGCCCGAUAGUCACGUGCCCUGCGCAGGCGGGCCGUGACAUCUAUGAACGUGCAUGGCCAAAGCAUACAUUGUUUUACAAUGGAUUUUUGAAUAUAUCCUUAUGAAAUGUUGUAUUUUGCUAUAACCGCUAUCUCCUUUAAAUUGCAUACCUAUUAUGCCAUGAUGAUGAUUAGAUAAAUAUGCAUGUCAGCUUCUCAAACCCUGCAUAAACAUGGUUACCGUUAUGUUCGAUCCGGUAAGAUUAUGUAUGAUUACUUACUGAGCCGUGUAGCUCAUAUCCGUUCAUUUACUUUUUCUUUCAGAUCCUUACUACUGAUAGCUGUCAGAGACACGUUAAUUUGGUAUCAGGGCUUCUUUCUUUUGGGGUAAAGCAAGUAUACUUUUGUGUACAUAAACUACAUAGAAGCUCUGUAUUUGGGUACUGACCAGCAUGUUGUACUAAGAAUGCUUUCAUAUGAAAAGAUUCGGUUGGUUUGACUACCCUGUUACCCAGGUAUGAGGCUGCGUGCUAUUGUGGGCGGUAGUCGACAAUAGCACGGCCGUGUCACGGAUCCGGGUCCGGGGCGUGACAAUGCAUGCCUACGAAGGGCUGUAUAUUGAAAGAGUGAUGCUCCAUAACCAACUUACGAUAAUAAAAUUCAAAACAUAACAUCUAAAUAGCAUACAAUUUCCCCAUCAUCAUCCCAUAUAACUUCUAAACUACUGAGAGUCUGAGAUGAUUGUAUGGUCCCGGUCUGAAUUUAAGUACGUUUCUUGUUAAAAAAAACGAUCAUAUCCUCUUUCGAGAACAUAAUCUCGCUGAAAGUUGCCAAAUCGUCUACUUUGUAAGGGGUGGCGUGAAGAUGAGAAUGCUUCAGUGCCACCUUUUGAAUAAUGGAAGCACCUACUGCGUGGAAAAAGAGGAGAGAACGGACAAGAAGUGCCUCACCCCGUGUCCCAAGUCACACUAGGAGAGGUUUUGGCGUUGUGAGACGUCUCUGGCUCCGUUGUCCUUUGCCUCACGGGGAUUGCUUCCGGCAGCAUCUUGAUGACCAAAGUGUUGAAAGGAGGGACAGACCAGCCGAACCCUCCGGGCCAUUCAGUGCGGAAAUUGUUGACACUCACACUACGCCAUGGGAAUGCAAAUCAGAUAAUGACAUGAAACCAGGCAACAGGAACGUUCUAAAGCUACGGUUCCGUCGCCUGGCCCACUUCCCUACCUUCGUUGUGAGGCUACUCGAUUACCUGCAGCUCCCAAGUCAAACGAUUCUGAGCCCUGUCACUUCUAAAUCUACCUUAGAAAUUUGAUUAGUCAAAAGAUAAAUAUCGAUCACUGGAAAGCCUCUUGCAAUGCAGAAAACUUAUUGACAUUCUACAUACAUCUUCUCCAUUAAGGGGUAAAUAUAUUAUGAUAUUGUUAACCGUUGUUGAAUCACCAACCAGAGAGGGAAGUGCAUUUAUCUAAUGAGGAUUGCGGCCGCUAGUUUUUCUUUUCUAUGGUCUUACGUACCCAUCCAUAUGUAUACUCAGGCACAUUCAUCACAUAUGUAUGACAACUAGUAUGACAUGAAUUCAGAAGAUGUGAUGCAUCAAGAUGUUGAUAGAGGUCCUGCAUCCAGGCUGGAUGAGACCCAAGGUUACACGUACAACUAAAUUAAAAAUAUUCAUAGAAUUUGCUACCUAUCUACCGCACUAACCCGGCACUAAACCCUUCUACAAUUUUUCAAAUAUCCUACUGUCCACGCCUGAAACAACAAAAGCCGUCCUUUUUGACAAUUUCAUGCAACCCGUGACGCGAAAGUCCUGUAAACGUGCCGCUCUCAAUACCAUGCUCCCCACCACCUACCAUUCCAACUCUCAUGCAGCCACAUAUCCAUGGCCCAAAAAGACGCCUAUAAAUACCCCACCGACUCCAUUUCACGGCACAAAACCCAAAAACUUCCAGACAAACAAAAGCCAUGGUCCCAAAAUACCUUCUUCUAGCCCUUCUCGUAGGAGUGGUGGCUCUCACCACUCCCACCGACGCUGGCCACAAGCCCCCGGAGACGAAGCCACCAACUCCGAUCCACAAACCUCCAACCGGACACAAACCCCCAACUCUUGCCGACGAGAAGAAGACGUCUGUGGACCAGCACAAGCCUCCUGCUCCUGGUGGCAAGCAUCCUGGUCCUCCUGGACACAGGCCGCCUUCCCUCUCCGAUGCCAAGGAAACUACAAACGGGUACGGCCACAUCCCGGAGCCUAAGCCCAAACCAUAUGGGAAGCCACCGGUGCAUGUGAAGCCGCCGGGACCUCACAAGCCACCGUCCACUGACCACCUGAAUUAGAGAGGGCUGCUGUGCUGCAGCUCGAUGCAUGGGGGUUGGAUAUACAAAUAAGAGGCUUCCUUAGACGUUAUAUAAAAUAUAAACGCGGCAUGUUUGAUAAUUUUAACGUAAUGCUUGUAUCUGUAUGCAUGACAUGAUUUCCUGCUACUAGCUAGAGAGGCCUCGAUCGCCAUGUGUACUGCUAUGUAUCUGGCUUUGCUAGUACAAUGAGAACCUUUGACAAGCCAUUAUCUUAAUGGAAAAUAUGUGAGUAAUGCUAAAUUAUGUUCUUGCAAAUGACUGGAGCUCUAUGCUACGUACCAUUUUUUUCAUUAUUAUAAAAAAAAAAAAAUCCGAUAAGUGGUGCGAGCAUCCAUGCGAGCAAGUUCUCAACUCUAUAUUGGUUGUAAUUAAUUAUAC